GAGUAGUUAAAAGAUAGAACGGUCUAGUCAAGCGCCAUGUCUCUUGUUCUUCGAUUAACUAUAGCUCUGAAGUUUUUGCAGAUUUUCAAAUAAAACUCAGAGAUUCCCUGUAUGACUCUCUCUAGUCUCUCUUUUGUGGUAUUCAUGGAUCCUUACCAAGGCAGUAAUGGUAUAUGCCUUCUCUCAAAGUAUGUGGAAUUUUUGGUAUGAGGCAUAGUGGCAUUGCCUUCUCUCUCACCCUACUCUAAUAAGGUUUUGAUAUCUGGAGCUCAUAGGUGGGAGACAGCUAAUACAUACUUACAAGACAUUUAUUGCAUAGUCAAACCAUAGAUCCAGAAGAACAAGUCAAUAAGUCAAAUCAAGAUGUGCAUGUGUGGCGAAUGAAUGGUGUAUGGUGAUGAUGGUGAUGACAAUGGUGAAAGUCUAAUUCUACUUGUGCUCUUUUGAGGGAUACAUACCUUUCUUGCUCUUUUGAAACUUUUUGAGGAGAAUGAGAUGCUCUAUAUUUUCUUUUUCUUUUCUCUCAUGUGAGUAUCUUGUACUCCUAAUUCUACUGUCGGACACUUGUCCAUUUUUACCUCUCGUCUCACCUUUUCUUUUCUUUCGAGGUUCCGGGCACUUGCCCUUUUUUAUUCCUCGUAUCUUCUCUUUUUUUAGAGUACUCACCUCUUUAAAUAAUGUAGCAAGUGGUAGUAACCGAAAUAUCUUGAGCAUUUAUUUCACAGAGGAAAACAGAAAUAGGAGAAUGUUUUUGGCUAUUCUCUCCCGGAUUAGGAGUAGAAUAUUUUUGGGUGGUUCUGGAGAUGAAAAUGGGUGGAUAUAUGUGGAUGCGUACUUCCGGAGUUGAAGCAGCAUGUGUGAGUGAACGUGCAAGUGAAUCUUGAUUUAACCACAUGACAAGCUCCUAAGGGUCUAUACAGCUUGACCACACUCAAUGCUCAUAAGCAGUAAAAAGUAAAUGAAUGGUUCAUAGUUUAAUAAGCAUGUAUAUAUGGCUGUGGUAGGAUUUCAAACUCUCAUCAUACAGGAACUCAUCAUGUGAUAUUUUAAAGAUUUUCAAAGAUAAAUUUCUCUAGAAUUCUAGCAUCUGUAGGAACAGAUAAACAACAGCUCAACCUUCCCAUAUCAUAUCCGUUAACAACUUAGACUUUAGAUCAAGUACACUUCCCACAAGUUCAGGUUUAGAGCAAAUCUUAAUUAAUAUCAGUCAUGCCUAAACUUGAGAGAGAUUUCAAUUUUGAGAACUAGUCAUGGCAGAGCAACUAUUCAUCAUUUCCAUAUGAGAGCUUAUCAGAGGGUUCAUAGCAAAUUUUAUUUAUUUAUUUAUUUAGCAAACUAAGCAAAGAUAUAUAUAUAUAUAUAAGCAUAAAAUCUUUAUUUGGGUUUUUAUAAUUAUGCAUCUUUUUAUUAUUUGAUUAAAGUAUAAACAUGAGUAGAACACUUAGCUGGAUAAAUGGGGGUGCUCUCCCCCAAGCUGGAUUUUGACGUAAUUUCUCCAGAUGUAGCUAGCAGGUGGCGGAGGUGUAUUUGAAUGUCGGCAGCACCCUAACAGCGAUUAGGAUGUCCUCCGUCUGCUAGUCUUCUAUGAUCCUUGAAUUCUGUGGAGCUCAAAUAGACAACAAAGCUUUAUGGAACUAGUUAAGUGUUAGCAUAAAUAUCUAGCCUUUAUCAUGUUGAGCCUCCUCAAUAAAUGUUACACUCUUUGGUAGGAUCAUAAAUUUAUUUAUAUUUUCAUUUUUAUAGCAAAUAAAUAUAUUUAUUUUAUUUUUAUGCCACCACAGUGAAUGUACUUAUGGGUUUUAUGCCAUGAGCAUACUCACAUGGGGCUUACUAUUGUUAACAUUUUUAUUUUCUUUUUCAGAUGAUAUGAGCCUGAUUAACUAAGCAAACUAUUUUAAAUAAUUGAAAGGAAAAGAUAACUACCAAGUUUAUCUCUUGGCAAGGCGUUCGGUGCUUUUAAGUCCUCCAAACGGGACUCUCCGUUUUCCCAGUCGUCCUAUGAUUCACUGGAUGGCGUAGUCGGUGGUUCCGGCAGCGCCUGCUCUUCAUGUAUAACUAUCUUCUCUCUACACACCUGACUCGGUGCUACGGUCUCCUCAGGACAGUUCUGUUCAAGUUGUAUGUCUUCAGACCUUACUACUCCUUCGUAGUCUACCCAUCCGUCCUUGAUGAUUUGCCUCCUCUGGUUGCAGUUGCGUCGUCUUCUUCUUGUCCUGACCUGCGUAGAGUCUUCAACUAUGUAGUUAGGGUCAGUAAAAUAGCGGCGUACCUUCUCAGAGGGGAAGUGCAUGUGGACUUCUCCGGUUCCAGUGUAGAUGAUUGCUUUAAUGAUGCGGAGGAACGGUCUCUCAAGGAUGAUGGGUGGAUCGUACUCGUCUUCUCCCAUGUCAAUAACCUGAAUGAUCGUCUAUUUUGACAGGGACAUUAGUUACUAUACCUUCCACCUUUCAGAAUGUCUGAUCUGCCAUCUGGAGCUGAAUGUAUGUCGAUUUUAGGGGCAUGGUUCCGAACAGGAGCUGAUAGGUGACUGCGGCCAUAUUUUGACGCCUAACCCGGUGUCGCAAAGCGUCUUCUGGAAGUUGUAUCCAUUAAUGGAGCACUGGAUGCUUGGCAUACCUGGGUCGUCCUUUUUGGUCAGGAACGGUGACUUAAGUCGACGAUCGUGACCUCCUUGAACUGCAGUGACCAUCUGAGCUGAAUCGGUCCACAUUUGCUUGUUCCUAUUCCUCCUGUUGGUCCUUUCCUUGGUUCAUGUCAGGAUUGCUCUGAGAUUUGUGUAGUCUUGUUCUUGAAGGAAAACGUCUCCUUCCUCCCCUUGAUGUAGAAACUAAUCUUGGCAGCACUAGCGUAGAUGACAGCUCCCGAGGUGUCAGGAAUGGCCUCCCUAGGAUGAUGGGUGCCCGCUCAUCACUAUCAGUCUCUAUCACCACGAAGUCUCCUGGAGCGUAUAAGGUACCAACUCGAACGUAGAGGUUCUUCAAAAUUCCCUUUGGGAAACAUAGUGUCCGAUCCUGGGCAUAAUGUUGACGCUGGAGUCAAAGUCGCAGAAUGCUUCUGGGAAGUCCACCAUGCCGAUGGAGGUCGGGAUGACGGGGUGUCCUGGAUCGCCUCUCUUGAUUUUGUUGAGGACGGUUGUAGUAGUUGUUGAACGGCGCCAGAAAGCUUGUUGGUGUAGUUUACGUCCUCAAGCAUCUCAGGGCAGUGAUUGCCUGAGUGUCCAAUAUCUCUAGUGUGUUUGUGCUCGUAGAUCUAGGUUCUUCACUUGGUGGAGUCUAGGAGUUGUAAAAGUCCUUCAUAUUUUGCUCGAAGUGUACAUGCUCAUAGAGACAAGACAGAGAUCAAGUGCAUGGGCCCUGUUGGUGGAAAACACCAAUAGAACCAAAAGUGUAUUUGUUCUUCUCUAACCUUGAGCAUAGUGAGCAAGACAAAGUUGAUGGAUAAUAAGAUCAUAAGUGUAGCAUUUAAAACAUUUGUCAGAUCAGAUCGCUCAACCUAAUGGAAAGAUAAUCUAUCUAUACUUAUGUUGUUUUUUUAUAUAUCUUCUAAAGAUUACGUGUGCAACAUUUUAGCUCAAAUGAUUAGGAGUGUGGGAUCACAAAGGUGGAAGGACUAAACAUAUUGAAUCAACUGGAUUGGUUAAUCUAGAGUUGUAAAUCAUACAUGUUUGUCUCUUUUAUUCAUGUGAAUGCCAGAACCAAGGAAAAGCUUAUAAAAGUGAUAGUCAAGUACCUUAAGAUGUUACCUUACUUGGAGAGUGAUGGUACAGUAUCACCUUGUGGACGCUUUCCUUUCUUAGCAGUUGUGCAUCGUGUUUGUGGCACCCUCCAUGGAUCAUCUCUUGUGAGCUAUGCCUUCCUUGUGUAAAUUGUUAACCUUCAUGCGUCUCUCUCUUUGUCUCCAAUGUGAGUUUAUCUCAGGACUUUCCAGGUCGAUAUUGAAAGUUUUCCUGCAGGGGUUAGUCCAACAAAAUAUCCAAUAUCUACUAUAGCAUACUAUCGGCUCAAAGAUCAACCUAGACACCAUGUCUAAUUUGAUUUAGGAGGGCAUUUUAACCUAUGCACCAUGCUUAAUUUAAAAUCUCUUGGAAGUAAGAUCAACAUUCCUAACUAAGCACCAUGUUUAAUUAAGAGAUAAAUGAAACUACUCUAAACCUAGACAUAUACUAAAGCAAAUAAAGGUAGCAUGAGAGCAUUUAUAGAGUUCUACUCAAGUGGAGAUAAAGUAGUGUGAUUAGUAUUUAACAAAUUGAGCAUGUCUCAAAGGUAGGGACAACCAACAUAGCAACAUAAUAAGGGAUGUUUUUAGGUAAAGUACUCCCUCAAGCUUGACUUUUGCAAAAUUCAAGUUUGAAUGAAUUUAAUUCAAUGUUGUAUGAUGAUUGGUUGGACAUACCUUGUGCUUGUCAUUCAUCCGAUCUUCUUGCUCCAAUCCUAGAAAGGUUAGUGACAAGAAUACCCGAAGGAAUUUUUUUACAAUUAUCCUUAUAUGCUCAACACACAAGGUAAUGUUGCAAAUAAUUAAAAGCUCUUGUUACGAUCUGAUUAGUGCUUAUUUUAGGACACUAAGCUUGUCCUUGGGAAACCAUCAAUUUAUGUCUGCAAAGUGGUUUCCCCUCCAACGCUGACCUAUAUCAAUAUGAACUCAACGAGAUCUGCAAAAUUUAUUAUAGACAUAUGCAUCGACAACCGCCCUUUUAAAGUUUUUAUAAAUAGAAAGGAAGAGGGGGUUGGAGAUCUCGAAUGUGGUGAUGUUGGAGAGACCAAUGGAUUAUGAAGAUAUUACAUAUGAGCAUGGAGUAAAUGAAGUGCCUAUGAAAUAAAUUCCAUGCUCAUUAAUGUUUGGAGUGAAAUCCAUGUGGUGUGGUGAAAAUGGUAAGGUGAAUGUGGUAAAAAAAGGAAAAGAAAAAGGAUACACGGACGACUUGGUUUGAAACUAGCAUAACUACCGUUCCUCGGCAACGGCGCCAGAAAGCUUGUUGGGUAUUUUAAACGCAAACGGAAAAAUCCGCAAGCGCACGGAUACCGAUGUAGCUUUCACCCGGGAGUAUUCCAGAGUAUCGAUUUUCCACAGGGGACGUGAGUGUACUAAUUAAGAUUCAAGAUCGCCCAAGGAUAACUAUAUAAUUAUUUUUGGUGGGAAGAGAGGAAGUUUCCUGAGAGUUCUCUAGUUGAUCUAAGAAUCAAGAAUUACUUCAAAGAUUAUUUAUUUUGGGACAUCAGAACACUAACCACAGAAAGAGAUGAGAAGGGGACUAGGAAGCUCUAACUACGGUCCUACAAACACCGAUCCGAACGAGGUGGAAUACGUUGACCGUUAGGGCUGUCACUACCCUAGGGCUACCACAACAAUUCGCAGGACUGGGUGCAAUUCGAGGUAAUUGCAAGACUAAACACCACGUCUAAUCUAUUAAUUACUACUCUAGCGUUAUAAAUACUAGAGCACUUGAUGCAAGUGGGAAUCCAAUAAAUAACUUGAAUGUAAAUAAAAGUAAUUAAAGAACUCAGGAAUUAUGAAUUGAAGAACCUGGAGAGCGAUGAAGAACGAACUAGUUGCUGCAAAAGUACAAUGUUGACGAAGAUCCGACAGACCCGGCUCCUCCUCCACUCUCCUCUUCUCUCUCCCUAUUUUCUAGAUUACAACUAGAAUUAACUAGAACUAGAACUAGAAGAACUAGAACUAGAACUAGAUGAACUAGAGAGAUCCUCUCUACUUGGAUGAAUAAUGGAAACCCUAUCUUUGAUUCUGUAGAAGAGGUAUGAUCUCCAGGGGCCAGGGGGCCUUGCUUAUAUAGUUUUUUCAGAUGAAUCUGGGCCGUCGGAUCAAACCGACAUUAAUCGCACGGUUUUCAUUGAUCCCUAAGGUCGGUGGAGCAUGAUCCGCGAAGUUGACCCUGAUUGGUCACCAAAGGGGGGGCGCCCUGGUCUCUAGGGCGGGCGCCCUAGGCCAGGCCCCGUUCUGCCUCCACUUCGUUCCCGUGGCUUCUGGAGUCUUCUAGAUGAUAGAAAAUUGCCGCACACAUUAAUAUCUCUAUGUAAACCCGACGUGUGGGCCUUUCCUCCGUAUUUCCUGAUAACCCCCUGCAGAAAUAGACAAACACCAAAACUCAUGCAAUUCUGUCAGAUAAAACCCUAAGUCCGGGUGUUGGUUGCAUUUGGAUCCUUUUCCAUGAUUAGUUGACGGUUAAAUGUGAGCAUUAAGGACCGUCAACAAGCCCCCAAAUCUCUUUUUUGGAUAAUGAAAUGGUAGGUAGCAACAAGAAACAAUGGAGCUUUAAUAAAUGGCAACGGAUAAACAAGUGGAAUAUUUUUUUUUUGAAGUUCACUCCUAGGGUUGGAGUAGAACAAUUUUGUGUGGAUCUAAAUGGCAUAAAGGUGGAUGCGUACUUCCGGUGUAGAAGUAGCAUAUGUGGGAGGAGUGUACGUGAUCUUGAUUCUAAAAUCAUGACUAGUUCCUAAGGGUCAACAAAGCUCGACUAAACUCAAUGCUCAUAAGAAGUAAAUAACAGUGAAGUGUUUUUCCUAAUCUACAAGGCAUGUAUAUUUAGCUAUGGUAGGAAUUCAAGCUCUCAUCAUAUAGGAACUCAUCAUGCAGCAUUUUUAUGUUUUUCAAAAGAUAAACACUCCAGAACUCUAGCAUCACUAUGAACAUGAUUAAUAGCAGCUCAAAACCUUUCCAUAUUAUAUUAGUCAACUACCUAGACUUAAGCUCAAGCAUUGCAAGCCACAAGUUUCAGGCUCAGAGUAACUUAAUCAAAACAGUUGUGUCUAAAACUUGGUACAGUUCGAGUUUAAAAGCUAGGUACUCAAAAUGUGUGGCAGAGUAACUAUUCAUCAUUUCUAUGCGAGUUAAACUUUGGUUUGGUAUAAGCAAAAUUAAUCCUUGUAUCUUCUCCUUUUUAUUUAUUUAUUAACAAUUCUAAAAUCACACAGAAAAAUAUGUAGGGAAAUAUUUAUUUGGUUUUUAAAUGUUUAUUCAUCUUUUUAUCUGUUUUCAUAAUCUAGGCAAAGGAACUUAAAAUUCAAAUUCAAAUUCAAGAAGGUGGUAGAAGUACUUAGCUAGAUACGCGGGUGUAUGCCCUCCCCCAAGCUGGAUGUUGGUGUGGUCUCUUGGUGUAGCAGACUGGUAGUGAAGAUACCUUCAAUGGUCGUCGGUCUUCCUAGUCCUUCAAAUUCUAUGGAGCUCAAAUAGACAACAAAUCUCGUGCAACUUGAUUAAGUGUUAGUGAUAAACCUCUAAGCCUUGAGUGUCUAGAACUUCACAUUUGAUUGAGCAUGUAUUAUCUAGGAUCUUAUCUUUUUGGUAUUUUAAGUGUUUUUAUAUUUUUAUGGAAUUUCAAAUUUAUAAUGCAAAAGGGAAAAUGCAACUAGAUUUUUUAAUUUUUUAUUUUUGUGCCACCACGGUGAGUAAUCUUUAUGGAUUGCCACAAGGAUAUUCACAUGGGGCUGAACACACAUUUUUUUUUUCUAAUGCAAAAAGAUGUUGAACUAUGUGAUGAUGAUUAUGCUAAAAUUAAAUAUGCUUCUAAGGGAAACUAAUGCAACAUUGAAAAUGGGAAACAUGGAUAACUACCAAAUUUACCUUUUGGUGAGGGUCUAUGUAACACCCCAGUGUUAUGGUUGCAUAAAUCAUAUGCAUAGCAUGAGCAUCAUCACUAUUCAAGCAUAUCAUGAUCAUCAUCUAUCUUGAGCCAUGUCAUUCCAUACAAAUAUGUGAUUUAAAUUGUUUAAGUAGUCUUCCUAUGCUUAUGCUUGAGUGAACCAUGCUUGUGUUUAUGCUCUAUGCCUUGGUACUUAGUUUAUCUAUGCUUAACUCAACCUUGGGAACAAUGUUCAUGUUGAUCACUUCUCCAAAAUAAUCACAUAAGUCAUACUUAGAAACCUCUUUUGCUUAGGCUUUUAAAAAGUGUUUCAUAAAAUGUUUGCAUGUCAAAACUUUCUACAGAAAAGUUGUAGCGAAUUUUAUAAGGAACAAAAGUUGUUUUAUAGCCAUCUCAUGAAAAUGAUCACAUCUAGCUCAAAAUUGACCCACAAGGCAGAUUUGGGGCUGUUUCCAACACUUAGAAAAUUUUUCUAAGUCCUGGAAUGAAAACAGUUUGCUCGAUCGGUUUUGAAAACUCUAUAUCUCUCAAUCCAGGCCGAUCUGGCUUUUGCUAUAGUUGACAAUGUUGUAGAACUCAAUUAGAACUCCAACUUUGUCAACUGCAUCAUCUUCUAACUCGAGCUGGUUUGGGAGUUAAUCGUUGCUGAAGUCGCUCUGUCAGUCGGUCAUCGUGUUCUCUGAAUCAGACGCGAGCUCGCUGACGUGGCCGACCGGCGACAGAGCAACGGCGACAUUUGGCGCCCGUACGCCACACCUGGCCCCGCUCGUCAGCUUCCAGCGUGCGCAUGUCCUCCACGGCGACGCCCCGAGCAGAGUGGACGCGUCCAUUUCCUCUCUGCCUCGCCUCUCUCGCCAGAAGCGUGCCCGCAGCGAGCUCACCGCCGCGAGCUCACUCCGGCGAGCUCGUGUGCGCUCCUCGCUGCAUCGCAGUCCACCAAACUCCACCCAUAGCUCCGUCGUGAGCCGCUCUCCACUCUCCACCCUCUAGCUCGCCGCGAAACCCACCGGUGAGCCGCCAUUUCCUUCUUCCCCCAAAUCGGGUCGCCGUGACCAUCUUUUCCGGUGAACUCGAUGCUGGGCUCUCGGAGCCUCCCAUCUCCUUUGGUUAGUAGCUUAGGUCCUUAGCUAGCGGCUGCACCUCUCGGUGGACGCUCUACCGCACCCACCGUCGCCGGACACGAUGCGCAGCGCCGCCGUGUUUCCGCCGGAGUUGGGGUCUUCCGUGGCCAGCAUGUUCCACGACGUUUCAAGCCAAGCCGCGUACCUAGGAAGCUUCGCCGUAGUCCGCUGGUGCUGUAGGAAACCCUAGGUCACGCUCUACCGGCCUGAGGGCUACGGUGUAACGCCGAGCACCUCCGCCGAGCCGCCAUGAUCGACGGCGAGCCAUUUCCGGUGGCUCCGCCAUGGGGAAAAGGGGGUCAAUCGAGUCGCUAGAGUAUGGGGAUCACAAUGGUGCCCUUGGUUUGACCGGAGACCUCGCCGUCGCGGAGAAAUCGCCGGCGAGAGUCGCCUCGGCGGUGAGGAAGAUGACCCUGACAUGCGGGGUCCACUGUCAGUGUCACCUCACUUCCCUCCUUUUCUUUUAUUCAAAUCCUGAUUUUUGGCUUUCUUACAAAAAUGAUAUCUCCAGUUUCUGAGAUCCAAAAAUUGUGAAACCAAUUUUGUGGUAUUCCUUGAGAUGGCUAGUUUUUAAUAAAAAUAUAAAAUGAACCAUGUUUUCUGAGAAAAAUAUUUAUUAGGAUUUAAUCUUGUUAUUCAUGAGUAAAUUCAUAUCCCUUGUUAUACUGCUUAUUUUGCUAUGAAAUUUUUAUGGUCGUCUCUGUGUGGUACUAGAAGGCUUUGAUAAAUAUUGCAUGAUUUUUGGAGUACUGCAGCUUUGAUAUGUAAUUUAUGUUUGAGAUUUGGCUUGUUUCCUUAAUUAAAUCAUAUAAAAUAAUUGGUGCUUAUGCUGGUGCUCUACUUUGGUGGUAAACAUGUUUAUGGUAUUCUUAAUAUGUAAAUAAUCUGAAAUCUGUUGUUUGGCACAAUGUAAGUCAUGUUUCUGAAUUUAUGAAAUACACACCUUGUCACAUAUUAAAUGCAUAUCUUUAAUUUGGUAUGUGCAAUUGCUUUGAAUUUUUUAUGGGAAUGUCACAAUGCUAUACACGUGCUUCUGUAAUUUUUGUAGAUUUUUCUGAGCACAUUUACUAGUAUCUUAUAAUUAAGUCCUUUUAUAGAAUUAAAUGGUUAAAUGCAUCAUUAUUAAAUAUAUAGGGGUUAACAUAUGUUGAUCUGGUAACCUUGUGAUAUGCUUGUGCUUAUAAGUCACGUGGUUGACACUGUUUAUGCUUUGGCUAUGUCUUUAAAUAAUUAAUUGGUGGGUUAAAGGCUGUUCUGGACAGCAAGGGAGUAAUUCAACUUUUACUUAUUGAUAUCUGAGUUUUCUGGGGAACUUGUCUAAAUUAAAGUUGUUGUAAACUUCAUGAGCUAGCUGUGGUUUAAAUUUGGGAUCAAUUAGUCCAGUAGUUUGAAAGUUAUGGCUGUUCCAAGUUGGGUUCUAGAAAUGGGUACUCUCUGUUUUUCUGGGACAGAAUCUGGAACUUUGUUUAAAUGGCUUGUUUAACUUAUGAAUCUUGCUGUGAUGUUUAAAGAUGAUUUGUAGAAAAUUUGAUGAGCUUUCCAGAAUGUCUUCACUCAUGUUUGUUGGAUCUGCCUAGCACUAGUUAUGACCUGUUUACUGAGCUAAUCCUGUUAUGUGAUGCUUGCUGUUCUAGUACUUGGUAGAUUCUGAUCAGUUAACUUACUACCUUGUGUGAACUGUUAUAACCGUUACUCUAUAAAUGCGUGUCCAGUGAGUUUAUUUAUGUGUCAAGCAUUCAUCCUCUUUUAUGCAUCAUCUUAUUAGUUGAGCAUGCAAUAGGUGCAUCGGACGCGACCGCUUACUUCGAGCUCCAAGCGAACCCCGAAGGCCAGGAGGGCAGCCAGGAGGUGGAGGUCCAGCCAGUCGGACUCGAGGAGCCCGAAGAAGAAGUUGAAUGCCCGAACCACGAGCCAGCCUCGUUCAUGAAAGGCAAGGCCCGGAGCAUCCUAAGUCUUCCUUUACUUUCAAAAGUUUACUUGAAUAUGUUAUAUUUAUUGAUGCAUUAAGUAUAGGAAUUGUGAUGAAACCUUUGCUGCACUUUACUCCAUCCUUGUCCAGAUAACUUACCCUACCCUGGUUGUAGAGUUAGGAUCGAGUAGCAGCUUAGCCAUGCUUAAUCGUUAGAAGUCGGGUGAUUUCCUGUCACCUACGCGAUAUAGGGUUGUGUCGGAUCACGAUGGACAAUAUGUGCUAUCGUGGGUGGAACUGGAUUAAUUUGACUUAAGCCGGGCGGAGUUUUGCAAGGUUGUAAUAACUCCGUCUGUGGCAGCUGAGGACCGACCGUUGUACGUCCUCUUCUCAUGUUGAACGCAUGCCUGACACUUAGUUGGCUGGAUAACUCGUUCCGACCGCGAAGCCGAGUAAUAUGACUCAGGCCGGAAGACCGGCAAGUAUAAAGUGCGCACUACCGGAGGAAGUGCGGUGUGCCGGGGACCAUUGGUGUAAGUCCAAAGGCAGGUGAGUUAAAAUUCCUGACCUCCCUGGCAGAGUGGUAGCCCUGGAAGUGCGGCGCUGAUCGGAGCCGCGAUUCCUGAGUCGUACCAAAGGUGACCCAUUGGCUCUCCGACGGAGGAUGCUUGGGUGAGUGCUAGGAAUACCCCUCCAGCUGGAUAGGAAUUCGAUUCGAAUCGCCGUCUCUCCCGGUCAGUGAGAACUUGACAGAGCAGCGGCAAACGUAGCAUUCACUAAUGAACUGGUUCAUGAUAAUGAUGAUAGCAAGGAAGAACAUAUGAAGAACUUGAUAUGGUUAUUAUUGCUUGUAAUAAUAAAGUGAAGUGCUUUAGUACAGGUGCUAAUCUAGUUGUGGCUGAUAUUGAAUAAAUAUGGGGCUCUCACAAUAACUUAGUUAUAAUGUAAGCUUUUGGCAAAUGUUGAGUCAACCAACUCCACUUGAUGUUAGCCUUGCAUGAUCCUUGGCGUCUUUUAUGUUUUUACUAGACAGGUAAGUCUAGCUGAGUACAUUCUCGUACUCAGGGUUAUUCCCACCUGUUGCAGAUGACAUCUUUUAUGACGGCUUCUGCAAGACCUGUCUCCAUCCCGCUGGGGAUGAGGACUAACCGUUGGGCAUGGUUCUCUAACAAACUCAUACCUACUGCUUUUGGAUGGAUGGCAUGAGACUCUGGCAAUAACAAGAACUUGUGAACUGAACUUUGAACAAGUGUGUGUAAUUAUUUUGCUUCCGCUACUUCAAACAUGUGUUGUAAUAACUUAAUAACUACGAUGUGGUGUCGCUUCGAUGGCAAUGAAUGACUAUGUAACAUUCGCUGUGUUGUGCUGAAUUAUUACGAUCUUGGUUUGUUGCAAGUUGGUUUGAAGUCCUUCGUGAUUUCGAUUGACUACCGGGAUUAUAUGGGCUCAAGUUUGGAAACUUGAUUGCUGGCCUAUCGUUUCUACACUUGAACUCUUAUAAUUUGGUCGGUUCUGUGACAGCUGGCAUCGGAGCAAGUUCAGCAUUAUAAAUGCAGUGGUUGUGUAUUUAAAAAUAAAACAAAAGAGUUUCUAAAUAAAAUGGUAAAACAAUACUUAAGUUAUGCCAGUGGUCGAAUCCUCCUUGUCCAUAUAAGGACUAUAGGUGGCUAUUUAAGUACUGACUUGGGGGGUUUUAUUUUUGCAUCUCUGGCAGUACUCAGGUAUGGAUGUGUGAUGACCACACUACGCUACCCUGUGGUCUAAUGGUGGAGGUAGCCUUCAUAUGUGAAUUAGCCACAUAUGUCGCUAGAUUUAAAUUAUGCAACGUCGCACCUAAGCUCUGGUAAGUGUGAGCUGUGAGAGCAUGAUCGUCCAAACGGCGGUCUAGGGGAGUGUUCGCGGUGGUCUUCUGGAGUGGUUACAUGUCAAAACCAUGGAACCACGAAAGAAACUUAAUUGGGGAGUAUUUAAUUUCUCGGGUAGCUGUGGUGUCAUUGUUUGUGCAUGUUGGACAUGUCCAAGCAAUGUACAUUUAGUUUACUGCUUUCUUGAGUGAUAUAUUAGGAACUGUUGGGCUGAAAAGAAGUUUUCUGCAAGUACUCUAACAGCGCACGUGUAAAUCGCUAGUUAUCGUAUCGAGAGACGAAUGUAUGCCACCGUAUAUCCGUUAGAAUAUUAAUUUUCUAAGUUUGUGAGGACGUACGGUUCGUGCAUGCAUCAUGUCGCAUUCAUACAUACAUUCUGUCUACUCCUUCCCUUACAAUGUCGUCCCUUUUAAUUAAAUAAAUGUUGCUUAAACUAAUCCUCUUUCACCCAUGGUAUUCCUACUCUUUUCCACAGAUGGACGCACCUGCUUCACCCCGUCGCAGUGACACUUUCUUGAGCGAGUUUGGCACUCCUACCUUGCUUGGAGAGUGCUACAGUCGGUAGGGUAUACUGAGCUACCUCAGUAUUCUUGAUGGGAGUUGGAUAUGACAGGAGAGUUGCAGUGGUUUGCUGUGCAGGGAGUUGUCCCUCCACAUGGGGGCAAGCCUGCAAGGACAGGGUGGACCUGUAGCUCAGACGGGUAGACUCCUUGGGAGGCAGCUCAGGUUGCAGCCCAGACUAUCCUACUCGAUAUCUGUCAGAGGUGUGGCGAUGAGCUGACAGGAGGACCAGCGGCCUCCAUUCCCCGUGCUGACCCAGCAGCAGCGGAGUGGAAACAGGCUGAUGGUUGUGCUUUGGUCCGAGGCAGGGGAGAGCGAGCUGAGAGUUCUAGUCCUGCUUUGAGUGCUAUGGUGGCUGUGCUCAAGCUGAUCAGUCAGCGAGAGGGCACCUAUGCACAGGUGAUGGUGGCUGUUCGCCAGGCUCAGGAGAUGCAACGGAAGGCUGAAAAGCGUGCUCGCAAGUUUCGCAAGCAAGCUAGAUUCCUGGAGCAAGCUCAGAAGGACCGCAAUGACUGGGAAGACAUUGCGGAGUACCGUAGGCAGCAGUGGGUGAAGGCCAUUAGGGAGAGAGAUCAUAAGCAGGAUCAGAUGAGUCAGUUGGCUCGAGAGAGGGAGACAGUGCAGGAGCACUUGGUGCAGAUCACUCGUGAGAGGGACACUGCACUCCGCGUGUCGGAGAACAGGCACCGGGCAUGGGAGAUGCACCGGAUUCAGUCUCUUGAGCGGGAGAACUAUCUGUAGGAUCAGAUUGAGGCUGAUCUUGUGGAGAUUCACCGUCUCAACAACUUGCUAGACCCUAUUCCUCGCCCUAUACCCGUGUAUCCAGAGGUGGGACCUCCGGUGAUUAUGGCCGAUGAUGAUGGUAUGGAGGUCGAUGGACCAGCAGCGGCUGCACCACCCUUGCACGAGGACGUGGAGGACGAGGAGCUUGAGCCAGUUAGCGACGAGGAUGGAGAGGCGAUCUUCGACGCUGACUCAGACGACGAGCCUGGAGUGUAGGGAGUAGUGGGUAGUGUUAUGUGAGGAUCUUCUGUAGUCUGGCAGCUAGCGGUGAUGCUUUUGUACCCAUGUUGUAAUCCGGAACUUUGACCUUGACUCAUGGCAUGUGCUGUGAUGGUGUAAUAACUUUAUGGACCCAAUGUGCAAUCUUAACAUGUUCGUUAUGUUAUGACGAUGUUUUUCGUUGUGGUGCAUAUUGUGGAUAUCUCUGUCAUGUGUUGGAUUGGUGAUGUUGUUUUGUGGAAUUGAAUUAUUGUGCCUUUUCUGUAAAGCUAUUCUCUCGAAUACUUUCAGGCAUUAAUAUAAGUUCUUCUGCGGCAAAUCUUGUCAUCAUCAAUGCUCACUGACUGUGUCUUUACAAAUGUCUCGUGGCACCCGAGGUGCGGAACAGCGUGCAAACAUGAAUCCACCCCCUCCUCCUCCACCACCAAAUCCAGCUGAGCUAAUGCAAAUGAUGGUGGAAAAUCAGAGGAUGCUCACUGAGACCAUCAAUCGGAUGGCGAAUCCGGGUGGUCGUAAUGCACAUGAAGGGCCAGCUCCUAACCAUUACAGUAGCUUCAAGGACUUCAUGGAUACAAAGCCCCCACCUUCCAGAGAAGCUGAAGAACCCCUUCAAGCUGAAGAAUGGCUGAACACGGUGGAACAAAAGAUCCGCUCAGAGUAUGCAGCUCAUCAACUGCAAGGUCCAGCAGGCAUCUGGUGGAAUCAGUAUCGAGAAGCUCUUCCAGCCGACACUGUGCUUGACUGGAAUAUUUUCCGUGAGGCUUUCAAGGGGCAUUUCAUUCCUCCUGGUGUCAUGGAGAUGAAGCAUACCGAGUUUAUGCAGUUGACUCAGGGCAACAAAACUAUGAAGGAGUAUUUGCAUGCUUUCAAUCAUUUGUCGAGAUACGCUCCUAAGUUUGUGAUCACUGAGGCGAAGAAGAUUGCUAGCUUCAAACAGGGUCUUGGCCCCAAGUUGCUGAAGACUAUGGGCCGCACUAAGUGUGCAACUUUCAAUGAGUUUGUCAGUGAUGCUCUUACCCAAGAGAACUAUAAUACUGUGUACACUGCGACCAAGACUCGCAAGAGGGCUUUUGAAGCCGGGGCAGGGGCAUCUCAGUCCAAGGCUCCAGUGGCAGCUAGACCACCGGUCCGUGCUCCAACCCCUAACCAGUGGUAUCGCCCACCUGUGAAGAAGAAUCAGGCAAAGACGGGUUUCCGCAAGGGUUACUCCAUUGCUCUUCCUAGGGGUAACACGGGUCCCAACUAUGCCAAGACUCCACCUGCCAACCGUCCGUGCUGGAACUGCAAUCAGACCGGGCAUUGGCAGAGCAACUGUCCUUACCCGCCAAAGAAGGUCAAUCAAGGGAACGUCCGUCAGGGGCGUGUUCACUACACCACUGUGGAAGCAAUCCCUGCUGGUGAGGUAGUUACGGCUGGUAAGUUUCUGGUUAACCAAUGUGAUGCACUUGUGCUUUUUGAUUCAGGAGCAUCGCAUUCUUUUGUGAGUUCCGAUUUUGUGUCUAAGCAUAAUCUCAAGGCAUUUACACUUGAUAAGGGCAGUUAUUGUAUUAGUGCUGCUGGAAAUGAUAUUUUCACCAAUCAAGUGGUUUUGGGGGCAACUCUGGAAAUAGGAGGCCGUCAGUUUCUUGCUGAUUUGGUUGUUCUACCCGGUGUGGGCAUAGAUGUAAUUCUGGGGAUGAAGUGGAUGAGUGGUAAUGGAGUUCUUAUUGACACCACAACUCGUGUAGUGAUGUUGAAAGACCCGAAUAGCAAGGAGGCAUUUCUAGUGCAACUCCCUCGUGAUAUUCAAAUCCGUAGCACUGUGAAUGCAGUUACGUCUAAGGCUAUUCAGGACAUUCCGGUGGUGUGUGAGUUCCCGGAUGUAUUUCGUGAUGAUUUGCCCGGGCUUCCUCCGGAUCGGGAUGUGGAGUUCAAAAUUGAAUUGAUUCCAGGUACCGCUCCUAUCUCUAGAAGACCUUAUAGAAUGCCACCCAAUGAGCUAGCUGAGCUUAAGACCCAGCUGAAUGAGUUGUUGAAGAAGGGUCUUAUCUGUCCUAGUUCUUCUCCAUGGGGUUGUCCGGCUAUCUUUGUGAAGAAGAAGGAUCAAUCUUUGCGCAUGUGUGUGGACUAUCGUCCCCUAAAUGCGGUGACCAUCAAGAAUAAAUACCUUCUUCCUCGCAUUGAUUUUUGUUUGAUCAGUUGUCUAAAGCCAAGGUAUUCUCCAAGAUUGAUUUGCGAUCUGGGUACCAUCAGAUCAAGAUCCGUCCUGAAGAUGUACCUAAGACAGCUUUCUCGACGAGGUAUGGGUUGUAUGAGUAUCUCGUCAUGUCCUUCAGUCUUACAAAUGCACCUGCUCAUUUCAUGUAUCUCAUGAAUUCAGUGUUCAUGCCCGAAUUGGACAAGUUUGUGGUAGUCUUCAUUGAUGAUAUCUUAAUAUAUUCUUGCAAUGAAGAGGAGCAUGCAGAGCAUCUGCGUAUAGUGUUGUCGCGUUUGCGUGAGCAUCAGCUUUAUGCCAAGUUCAGCAAAUGCGAGUUUUGGCUAAAGAAAGUACCUUUCUUGGGCCAUGUCUUAUCUGAAGAAGGCAUAUCAGUGGAUCCAGCUAAGGUGCAAGAAGUGCUGGAUUGGAAGGUUCCAAACUUCGGUACACGAGGUUCGGAGUUUUCUUGGUCUGGCUGGGUAUUAUCGUCGAUUCAUUCCGGAAUUUUCAAAAAUAUCCAAGCCUAUGACUCAUCUACUUCAGAAAGAUGAGAAGUUUGUGUGGACGUCUGAGUGCGAGGAGGCAUUCCACAAGUUGAGGACUUUGCUGACAUCAGCUCCUGUCCUAGCUCAACCUGAUAUCGAAAAGCCCUUCGAUGUCUUUUGUGACGCGUCAGGCAUUGGUCUAGGCUGUGUGUUGAUGCAAGAAGGUCGCGUUAUCGCGUAUGCCUCACGCCAACUUCGAAAGCAUGAGGUCAAUUACCCUACUCAUGACUUAGAAUUGGCAGCAGUUGUUCAUGCUUUGAAAAUCUGGAGGCACUAUUUUCUGGGUAAUCUGUGUAAUAUCUACACCGAUCAUAAGAGCCUCAAGUAUAUCUUCACUCAACCUGAACUGAACAUGCGGCAACGACGGUGGCUUGAGUUGAUUAAAGAUUACAAUCUACAAGUGCACUAUCAUCCGGGCAAGGCAAACGUGGUGGCGGAUGCUUUGAGUCAGAAAGCGCACUGCCGCUCUAUCCAAGUGGAAGAUCCGUUGUUGUCACAUCUUAUGCAUCCACUUGUGCUCAACCAGAUUUCUCUAGAGAGUACUCUUCGCAAUCGAGUCAUCGAAUUGCAGCAAACAGAUGUAGGCAUCCACCAUAUAAAGAGAAAAAUAAAGGAAGAAGAAAACAAGCAUUUCAGGGCCGAUGAGAACGGAAUUCUUUGGUUCAAGGAUCGACUAGUGGUCCCAAAAGACCGUGAGCUACGAAAUCGGAUCUUAUCUGAAGCUCAUUCAUCCAAAUUGUCUAUCCAUCCUGGUAGUAGCAAGAUGUAUCAGGAUCUGAAACCUUUGUUUUGGUGGACAAAGAUGAAAAAGGAGAUUGCUGCUUUUGUCACUCGUUGUGACAAUUGUUGUCGUGUGAAGGCCGUUCACAUGAAAUCUGGUUUGCUUCAACCCUUGUCAAUUCCUGGUUGGAAAUGGGAAGAAGUCAGCAUGGAUUUCAUCGUUGGACUCCCAACUUCUGUUAAGGGUUACGACUCUAUCUGGGUGAUUGUAGAUCGUUUGACCAAGGUUGCUUGUUUUAUUCUAGUUCGAACUGACUAUCGUCCACAUCAAUAUGCGGAGUUGUUUCGAACACAUUGUUUGUCAGUAUGGUGUGCCUCGAACUAUCAUAUCAGAUUGUGGACCACAGUUCACUGCUCGUUUUUGGGAAUGUCUGCAUGAGCAGAUUGGCACUCAUUUAGUCCGUAGCUCUGCUUAUCAUCCCCAAACAGCAGGUCAAACUGAAAGGGUCAACCAAAUCCUAGAAGAUAUGUUGAGGGCGUGUGCUCUUUCUUCUAAAGGUUCUUGGGUUAAGUGGUUGUCAUUAGCUGAGUUCUCUUAUAACAACAGUUAUCAGGAGAGUAUCAAGAUGGCUCCAUUUGAAGCCCUGUACGGUCGAAAGUGUCGAACCCCGUUGAAUUGGGUAGAAGCCAGAGAGCGAAGGUAUUAUGGCAUCGAUUUCAUGAACGAAGCAGAGCAACAAGUCCGUACCAUCCAGCAACAUCUGGAAGCUGCUCAAGCUCGUCAGAAAAGUUAUGCCGACAAAAGAAGGAAGCCGAUUGAGUUUUCAGUUGGUGACCAUGUGUAUAUCAAGGUGUCUUCGAUGAAGGGUGUACAAAGGUUCGGAGUCAAGCGAAAGCUUGCACCUCGUUAUGUGGGACCUUAUCGGAUUCUCGAAAGGAAAUGGAAUGUGGUGUACAAAGUUCAACUUCUAGUUGCGCUUCGAGCUAUUUUCCCUGUCUUCCACGUAUCACAGGUAAAGAAGUGCCUUCGUGUUCCGGAGGAAAGAGUGGAAGUUCGGGAUAUCAAGUUGAAGUCAGACUUGGUGUAUGAAGAAAAACCUGUAGCAGUUCUUGACCGCAGGGAACAGGUGACUCGUAAUUGUGUGGUUAAAUUCUACAAAGUGUUGUGGAGUAACCACGAGGAAGAAGAUGCCACUUGGGAAAUCGAGGAUUAUUUGAAAGAAGUUUACAAAACCUUCUUCGAAAAUCAGUAAGCUUUCAAAUCUCGGGACGAGAUUUUUGUAAGGGGGAGGGCUGUAACACCCCAGUGUUAUGGUUGCAUAAAUCAUAUGCAUAGCAUGAGCAUCAUCAUCUAUUCAAGCAUAUCAUGAUCAUCAUCUAUCUUGAGCCAUGUCAUUCCAUGCAAAUAUGUGAUUUAAAUUGUUUAAGUAGUCUUCCUAUGCUUAUGCUUGAGUGAACCAUGCUUGUGUUUAUGCUCUAUGCCUUGGUACUUAGUUUAUCUAUGCUUAACUCAACCUUGGGAAUAAUGUUCAUGUUGAUCACUUCUCCAAAAUAAUCACAUAAGUCAUACUUAUACAAAUAGGCUCUAGAAACCUCUUUUGCUUUGGCUUUUAAAAAGUGUUUCAUAAAAUGUUUGCAUGUCAAAACUUUCUACAGAAAAGUUGUAGCAAAUUUUAUAAGGAACAAAAGUUGUUUUAUAGCCAUCUCAUGAAAAUGAUCACAUCUAGCUCAAAAUUGACCCACAAGGCAGAUUUGGGGCUGUUUCCAACACUUAGGAAAUUUUUCAGUCCUGGAAUGAAAACAGUUUGCUCGAUCGGAUUUGAAAACUAUAUAUCUCUCAAUCCAGGCCGAUCUGGAUUUUGCUCUACUUGACAAUGUUGUAGAACUCGAUUGGAACUCCAACUUUGUCAACUGCAUCAUCUUCUAACUCGGGCUGGUUUGGGAGUUAUUCGUUGCUGAAGUCGCUCUAUCAGUCGGUCAUCGUGUUCUCUGAAUCAGACGCGAGCUCGCCGACGUGGCCGACCGGCGACAGAGCAACGGCGACAUUUGGUGCCCGUACGCCGCUCCUGGCCCCGCUCGUCAGCUUCCAGCGUGCGCAUGUCCUCCACGGCGACGCCCCGAGCGGAGUGGACGCGUCCAUUUCCUCUCUGCCUCGCCUCUCUCGCCAGAAGCGCGCCCGCAGCGAGCUCACCGCCGCGAGCUCACUCCGGCGAGCUCGUGUGCGCUCCUCGCUGCAUCGCAGUCCACCAAACUCCACCCGUAGCUCCGUCGUGAGCCGCUCUCCACUCUCCACCCUCUAGCUCGCCGCGAAACCCACCGGUGAGCCGCCAUUUCCUUCUUCCCCCAAAUCUGGUCGCCGUGACCAUCUUUUCCGGCGAACUCAAUGCUGGGCUCUCGGAGCCUCCCAUCUCCUUUGGUUAGGUUCUAGAGGUAGCUUAGGUCCUUAGCUAGCGGUUGCAACUCUUGGUGGACGCUCUACCACACCCACCGUCGCCGGACACGAUGCGCAGCACCGCCGUGUUUCCGCCGGAGUUGGGGUGUUCCGUGGCCAGCACGUUCCACGACGUUUCAAGCCAAGCCGCGUACCUAGGAAGCUUCGCCGUAGUCCGCUGGUGCUGUAGGAAACCCUAGGUCACGCUCUACCGGCCUGAGGGCUCCGGCGUAAUGCCGACACCUCCGCCGAGCCGCCAUGAUCGACGGCGAGCCAUUUCCGGUGGCUCCGCCGUGGGGAAAAGGGGGUCAAUCGAGUCGCUAGAGUCUGGGGAUCACAAUGGUACCCUUGGUUUGGCCGGAGACCUCGCCGUCGCGGAGAAUCGCUGGCGAGAGUCGCCUCGGCGGUGAGGAACAUGACCCUGACAUGCGGGGUCCACUGUUAGUGUCACCUCACUUCCCUCCUUUUCUUUUAUUCAAAUCCUGAUUUUUGGCUUUCUUACAAAAAUUAUAUCUCCUAUUUCUGAGAUCUAAAAAUUGUGAAACCAAUUUUGUGGUAUUCCUUGAUAUGGCUAGUUUUUAAUAAAAAUAUAAAAUGAACCAUGUUUUCUGAGAAAAAUAUUUAUUAGGAUUUAAUCUUGUUAUUCAUGAGUAAAUUCAUAUCUCUUGUUAUGCUGCUUAUUUUGCGAUGACAUUUUUAUGAUAGUCUCUGUGAGGUACUAGAAGGCUUUAAUAAAUAUUUCAUGAUUUUUGGAGUACUGCAGCUUUGAUAUGUAAUUUAUGUUUGAGAUUUGGCUUGUUUCCUUAAUUAAAUCAUAUAAAAUAAUUGGUGCUGAUGCUGGUGCUCUACUUUGGUGCUAAACUUGUUUAUGGUAUUCUUAAUAUGUAAAUAAUCUGAAAUCUGUUGUUUGGCACAAUGUAAAUCAUGUUUCUGAAUUUAUGAAAUACACACCUUGUCACAUAUUAAAUGCAUAUCUUUAAUUUGGUAUGUGCAGUUGCUUUGAAAUUUUUAUGGGAAUGUCACAAUGCUAUACAUGUGCUUCUGUAGUUUUUGUAGAUUUUUCUGAGCACAUUUGCUAGUAUCUUAUAAUUAAGUCCUUUUAUAGAAUUAAAUGGUUAAAUGCAUCAUUAUUAAAUAUAUAGGGGUUAACAUAUGUUGAUCUGGUAACCUUGUGAUAUGCUUGUGCUUAUAAGUCAUGUGGUUGACACUGUUUAUGCUUUGGCUAUGUCUUUAAAUAAUUAAUUGGUGGGUUAAAGGCUGUUCUGGACAGCAAGGGAGUAAUUCAACUUUUACUUAUUGAUAUCUGAGUUUUCUGGGGAACUUUUCUAAAUCAAAGUUGUUGUAAACUUCAUGAGCUAUCUGUGGUUUAAAUUUUGGAUCAAUUGGUCCAGUAGUUUGAAAGUUAUGGCUGUUCCAAGUUGGGUUCCAGAAAUGGGUACUCUCUGUUUUUCUGUGACAGAACAUGGAACUUUGUUUAAAUGGCUUAUUUAACUUAUGAAUCUUGCUGUGAUGUUUAAAGAUGAUUUCUAGACAAUUUCAUAAGCUUUCCAGAAUGUCUUCACUCAUGUUUGUUGGAUCUGCCUAGCACUAGUUAUGACCUGUUUACUGAGCUAAUCCUGUUAUGUGAUGCUUGCUGUUCUAGUACUUGGUAGAUUCUGAUCAGUUAACUUACUACCUUGUGUGAACUGUUAUAACCGUUACUCCGUAAAUGCGUGUCGAGUGAGUUUAUUUAUGUGUCAAGCAUUCAUUCUCUUUUAUGCAUCAUCUUAUUAGUUGAGCAUGCAAUAGGUGCAUCAGACGCGACCGCUUCCUUCGAGCUCCAAGCGAACCCCGAAGGCCAGGAGGGCAGCCAGGAGGUGGAGGUCCAGCCAGUCGGACUCGAGGAGCCCGAAAAAGAAGUUGAGUGCCCGAACCACGAGCCAGCCUCGUUCAUGAAAGGCAAGCCCCGGAGCAUCCUAAGUCUCCCUUUACUUUCAAAAGUUUACUUGAAUAUGUGAGUAGCAGCUUAGCCAUGCUUAAUCGGUAGAAGUCGGGUGAUUUCCUGUCACCUGCGCGAUAUAGGGUUGUGUCGGUUCACGAUGGACUAUAUGUGCUAUCGUGGGUGGAACCGGAUUAAUUUGACUUAAGCCGGGCGGAGUUUUGCAAGGUUGUAGUAACUCCGUCUGUGGCAGCUAAGGACCGACCGUUGUACGUCCUCUUGUCAUGUUGAACGCAUGCCUGACACUUAGUUGGCCGGAUAACUCGUUCCGACCGCGAAGCCGAGUAAUAUGACUCAGGCCGGAAGACCAGCAAGUAUAAAGUGCGCACUACCGGAGGAAGUGCGGUGUGCGGGGGACCAUUGGCGUAAGCCCAAAGGCAGGUGAGUUAAAAUUCCUGACCUCCCUGGCAAAGUGGUAGCCCUGGGAGUGCGGCGCAGAUCGGAGCCGCGAUUCCUGAGUCGUACCAAAGGUGACCCAUUGGCUCUCCGACGGGGGAUGCUUGGGUGAGUGCUAGGAAUACCCCUCCAGCUGGAUAGGAAUUCGAUUCGAAUCGCCGUCUCUCCCGGUCAGUGAGAACUUGACAGAGCAGCGGCAAAUGUAGCAUUCACUAAUGAACUUGGUUCAUGAUAAUGAUGAUAGCAAGGAAGAACAUAUGAUGAACUUGAUAUGGUUAUUAUUGCUUGUAAUAAUAAAGUGAAGUGCUUUAGUACAGGUGCUAAUCUAGUGGUAGGCUGAUAUUGAAUAAAUAUGGGGCUCUCACAAUAACUUAGUUAUAAUGUAAACUUUUGGCAAAUGUUGAGUCAACCAACUCCACUUGAUGUUAGCCUUGCAUGAUCCUUGGCGUCUUUUAUGUUUUUACUAGACGGGUAAGUCUAGCUGAGUACAUUCUCGUACUCAGGGUUAUUCCCACCUGUUGCAGAUGACAUCUUUUAUGACGGCUUCUGCAAGACCUGUCUCCAUCCCGCUGGGGAUGAGGACUAACCGUUGGGCACGGUUCUCUAACAAACUCAUACCUGCUGCUUUUGGAUGGAUGGCAUGAGACUCUGGCAAUAACAAGAACUUGUGAACUGAACUUUGAACAAGUGUGUGUAAUUAUUUUGCUUCCGCUACUUCGAACAUGUGUUGUAAUAACUUAAUAACUCCGAUGUGGUGUCGCUUCGACGGCAAUGAAUGACUAUGUAACAUUCGCUGUGUUGUGCUGAAUUAUUACGAUCUUGGUUUGUUGCAAGUUGGUUUGAAGUCCUUCGUGAUUUCGAUUGACUACCAGGAUUAUAUGGGCUCAAGUUUGGAAACUUGAUUGCUAGCCGAUCGUUUCUACACUUGAACUCUUAUAUUUUGGUCGGUUCUGUGACAGUCUAGUGUUUUGAGUCCACCGAACAAGACAUCUCCUUUCGCUGAGUUUUCUUUGAUCACUCUGGAUGGCUUCUCCGGAGACUCCAAUUACUCUUCUUCCUGUGUUGGUGAGUCAGAAGUAAUUACAGCUUUUUGAACCCAUACCUUAUUGGUUGGCGAGGUGGACUUCGAUGGGGGAGCUACGUAUUUAAUGAUGUCAUCAUUCACUUCUUCUAUGGCGUCCUUCUCUAGGAAUAGUUCUUCAUGUCUUGUCACCUCUCCUUCAUAGUCAACCCAUCUAUCCUUCAGGAUUUGUUUCUUUUGGCAUUAAGAACGAUGCCUCCUUCUUGACCUGUUCUUCUAGGGUUCUUCACUAACUUCAUAGUUAGUAAAAUAUCAGCGUACCUUCUGUGAUGGGAAUUGGAAGUGGACUUCUUCGGUCCCGAUGUAGAUGAUUGCUUGAGUAGUGUUGAGGAACGGUCUUCCAAGGAUGAUUUCUGGAUCAUGAUCUUCUUCUCCCGUGUCCAAGACUAGGAAGUCGGUAGAGCUGAAGUGUUCAUCGAUUUGUACUGGUACGUCCUUGGCAAUACCUUCCAGGAAUUGGUAGGUCUAGUCCGCCAUCUAUAGUUGCACAAAGGUCAAAUACAACGACAUCUUUCCAUAUAGAAAUUCAUAGGUUACCUUAGCCAUGAUGUUGACUUUGGCUCCAAUGCUACAAACUGCCUUCUAGAAGGAGCAUCUAUUUAUGGUGCAUUCAAUGGUUGCUGCACAAGGGUCUUCCCUUUUGAUCAAGUAGGGAGAUGCGAGGAGAUGGUCAUGGUCUUUGUCAAUGGUUGUGACCAUCCUCACUAACUCAACCUUUGGUUGUCGGUUCAUGUUCCUUCGAUUCUUCUUCUUUAUCUCAGCUCCACCAUAGUUCUGAAGAUCGUACAGCGUCUAGGGAUGUGCAAGAUCUUUGAGUGUACACUUUUGGAAGGUGAAUGUCUCCCCCCUUGAUGUUGAAGCUGAUCUUUGCAUUGUCGACGUAGAUGAUGACCUUGGUGGUGCACAAGAAUGGGCAACCCAAGAUGAUGGGUGCUCUCUCGUCACCUCCGGUCUCUAUUACCGUGAAGUCUGCAGGGACUUAUGAUUGGCCAACUCGGACGCAAACAUCUUCAAGGAUUCCUUUUGGGUAGCACAGCAUCUGGUCUUCCAUCUGCAAGCACAUGAUUGUAUACAAAAAUGGAUCUCCAUGAAUUUUCUCAUAUAGUACCUUAGGCAUGAUGUUGAUGCUUGCACCAAAGUCACAAAGGACUUCCGGGAAGUGGUUGCCUCCAGUGUUGAUGGGGAUGACCAGCCUUCUUGGACCACCUUUCUUCUCGGGCAAGGACUCAUCUGUCCAUCGUCCAGUGGAUAUGCAUUGUAUAUAUCAAUAAGAUUUGCAUAUUCUAAUUCUUCUAGUUGCCCCGAAAUCUUUCCUUGGUUAGCAGCAGGAACAACAGUUAUCAAUUGAGAUAUUUCAGAUUCAAUCAUUUUAUUAAAGCUAUGUUGAUUCUUAAUUGCUGUUGAAAAGUUAUCCAUCCUAGCAUUUAUGGUUUCUAAAGUUUUAUCACCGGAUGCAAUUUUCUUAGAUGGAUUAUCCAUGAGUUUUCCUUGAUUCACAACUAACUCUCUCAAAGGUGGUUGAUUGAAAUUAUUGCUGAAGUUGUUACCUUGGUAGUUACCUAAGGAGUAGUUGGUUGAGUAGUUAGGCCUCUGUUGAUUCUAGCCUUGAUCCUACACAACUAGUAAGAAAAAGCACAAAGCUCCUAAGCUCACUAGCAAUGCUCGAUAACAAGGCAACCAAUACCAAAUUAGAGAGCGCAAAAUACUUAGCUACACAAACUAAGCAAUGUGACUAACAAGGUUACACAAACCAAAUUAGUCACGCAAAGGAACUACUUCUAGCUACACAAGCAAGAAUGUAACUAGAAAGCUACACAAGCUAACAAAUUACAAGAGCAACUACACAAGCACAAUUAUAUGAAUGUAAGAACAAGCUUGUGUUAGGGACUUGCAAACAACCGGGAAGAACAAAUGUUGACACGAUGAUUUUCUCCCGAGGUUCACUUGGUUGCCACCAAGCUACGUCCCCGUUGAGACAAGCUCCAAGGUUGCCGCCGGUCCUCUUACUAGUGGUGACCCACAAGUCACACUCUCCCACGUGGAGUGCUUACCACAAGCUCUAGCACUUGACCCAGCCGGACCACUUGUCGCUCUUCACAUCUCGCUCAAUUAGAGUUGCUCUUCGCGAUCCCCACGGGAUGAGCACCGUACCCCUCACAAUCUCUUCUCCGGAGCACCGCACAAUCUCCUUGCGUGCUUCGACGGAGUCACAAGCCACCAAGCCGUCUAGGAGGUGGCAACCUCCAAGAGUAACAAGCACCACCGGCUUGCAACACGAACACCUAGUGCCACUCGAUGCAAUCUCUCAAUGCAACGCACAAGAAUCGCUCACUCACACAAUCGGAUGAUCAAUAUCAAGCAUAAGUGAGUUAGAGGCUUCACUAGCACUCCCCAAGCAUGGACACUAAGUCCCAAGGGUGCUCAGCACCAGCCAAGGCCGGCCACCACUUCUAUUUAUAGCCCCAAGGGCUAAACUAGCCUUUGCCCCAUCACUGGGAAAAAUACGUGGGCACCGGACGCUCAGAGGGAGCCACCGGACGCUCAACACCCAGCAUCCGGUGCUCAGCUGACCGCCACGUGUCACUAGCCAUUUGAACUCGACAGUUGCCGCCAACGGCUACUGCGCACGCGUGCCUGCACAGCACCACCGGACGCUCUACUGCGUCACACCGGACGCGUCCGGUGCACACCGGACUCGUGCGCAGAGAGCUCCGCAAAGUCGCAUGGUCACCGGACGCAAGCCACCGGACGCACCCUAAGCGUCCGGUGCUCACCGGACUCAUGCGCAGAGAGGGUCGCCAAACGGCCUGCACACCGGACGCUGAGCACCGGACUCUCUCCGGUGCGUCCGGUGCACUCUGCUGCACCCGACAGCACACCGGACGCUAAAGGCCAGCGUCCGGUGCCUCCGCGCAGAGCGUCCGGUGAGUGUUUCCUAAUGAGAAACACUCCCGCGACUUCUCCAAAAUUUCCCACCGGCGCAAUAGAAAAUAUGCACUUAAUUUUCUCAAAAGCGCCGAAUCCCGCCUCGCAAGCUCGGCGGGAGGGAGAGAGGAACCCACACCCCUCUCAACCCUAGGAAAAACACCUCCUUUGCAAAUGUGUGCCAACACCACCAAGUGUACACCACCAUGUGCAUGUGUGUUAGCAUUUUCACAAACAUUUUUCCCAAAGGAGUUAGCCUCUCAACUAACCACGCCACUCGAUCCUAACACGUAUGCAAUGUUAGAUCGCUCAAGUGGCACUAGAAGACCGAUAUGCAAACAAGUUUGUCCCUCUUGAAAGUACGGCCAUCUAUCCUAAAUCCGGUCAUAAACUUCAAAUUUAACUAUCAAAUAGCUGGGGAUAUCCCCUGACUUAGGGUUUUAUCUGACAGAAUUCCAUGAGUUUUGGUGUUUGUCUAUUUCUGCAUGGGGUUAUCAGGAAAUAAGGAAGAAAGGCCCACACGUCGGGAUUACAUCGAGAUAUCAACAUGCCGCGCAAUUAUCUUACAUCUAGAAGACUCCAGAAGCCACGGGAAGGAAGCGGAGACCGAACGGAGUCAGGGACAGGGCGCCCGCCCAAGUCCUUAGGGCGCCCGCCCACCUUUUUCGGCCAAUCACGCUCAAUCUCGCGGAUUGUGCUCCACCGACCUAAAGGAUCAAGAAUAACCGUUCAAUCAAUGUCGGUUUGUUCCGACGGCCCAGGUUCACUUGAGGGGACUAUAAAACCAGACCCCCUGGCCCCUGGAGGAGGCACCCCCUUGAUCAUUAUUCAUUAUUCAUAGACAGAGCAAAAUCUAGGGUUUAGAGAUGAGAGCUCUCCUCUCUUCUCUAAACUAGAGUAGAUCUAGAUAGUAGCGAGAUGGAGAGCGAAGGAGGAUUAGAGGAGAGGACGGCCUGUCGGUUCUUCCUCCGGUUGUACUUCGCCAUGAUCAAGCUCUAAUCAAGCUUGCUCAUGGGAUGACUCUAGUAAUCUACUUCUAAUUCAUUAUGCAAUUACUAAUCAUGUAUGUUCUGGUUCACAACUCUUUUGAGUACUUCUAAUCUAUAGGACCCUAUAGGUUAGAGUUGUAGUAUAGGUGUAAGCGUGGUGCUUAGACCUAGAUUACCUGUGGAUAUCCCCUGACUAGCUGGAUCGUGUGGUAGGCCGCGUAGGUGACAGUUACGUUGGUCCCCUGUAGUCCACCUCUCGUUAGCAGGACGGGUAGGGUUUAUUGGCCUAUGGAUAAGCAUCCUUUGUGGUGUACUCUUAUCACGUGGUUUGUCCCAGACAUAGACAUACCCCUUUGAAGUAGAGAAACCAUAGUUAUCCUCUCUAUUCUGCUACCAUCGCCCAUAUACUAGAAUUGCUCUACUCUCUAUUCCCAUAUUAUCACUCACUGUUAUCUUACCUUUAAUAUUGUUCUUAUUUGAUUCUACCAUCUUUCCUAUUCACACCUAUUUACUUAUCUUGGUUAAGUUAGAGCGUAGAUCAGUUCUCCCGUUUCCCUGUGGAUACGAUAAAACCUUUAACCGGGUAAAAGCUUCAACGGUAUCCGUGCGCUUGCGGAUUAUCUGUGUGCGUAUAAAUACCAUAGUACACUCUAGUGCCACGCUGGGGAUGACAACCUAGUAUUCAAGUGGUGUUAGCAAGUGUCAACAAGCAUUUUUGGCGCCGUUGCCGGGGAAACGGUUGCUGAGUUGACUACGAACUAGUUUAAUCAUUUUAUAAAAAAAUAAAUAAAUAAAUAAAAAUAUUUUCCUUUUAUCCUUUGCCUCAUCUCUGCUAUUCUUUCUUCUUAUCUAAUCCUUGAUCUCUGGUCUAUUAUGAAUUCAAACAUGUCUAUCUAUGAAUUUCAUAGACCUAUGGGCACACAUCUCGAACCACCAAAAUCUUCAAAGCCUAUCAUAGCAUCUAGUUUUGAGAUAGACCCCGAAUACAUAGAAUUUAUUCAAAAAAAACCUUUCUCAGGAAAAGGUGAGGAAAACCCAUACACACACCUAAGAGAGUUUUAUCGAGUCUGUGACCUCCUUCGCAUAGAAGGAAUGUCCGAUGAGACCCUUAAAUGGAAGCUCUUUCUGUUCUCUUUAACGGGAAAAGCUAGACAUUGGUAUAAACUCAAAGUAAGGAGUGUUCAUGGAGAUUGGAAGGAGUUAUAUAGUAGUUUUCUUUCUAAAUAUUUUCCAAUCUCCAAAGUGGUGGAACUUCGGCGUGAGAUUCUUUCUUUUAGACAACUGGAAGAAGAAUCUCUUGGCAAAUCAUGGGACCGCUUUAUUAACCUUACUCUCAUUGGCCCAAAACUUUCUAUUCCAGAAGAAGUUCUUCUAAUUCACUUUUUUGAGGGCCUUAGUAGGAAAAAUAAGCAAACCCUUCAUGCGGCCUCUGGAGGAUCUUUCCACCACCUAUCCGCUAGUGAAGCUUGGAAUUUGAUUGAUUUAAUGAGCGGAAAGUCUCCUAGCUUUUAUAUCCCUGAGAAAGAGAAAGAACCAGUUCCUAGACAAGAAGAAGUUUCGAUAGCCAGAUCACAACCACUUCAAUCCCAAACUUUAGCUAUCGAUCCUAAACCAUCAAUACCCCAAAAUUCUCCAAGGGAGGAAGGAAUUCCAACCUUAAAUCUUUUAGAUGCUGAUGGUUUAGACUUCUGGUUCUAUAAGAGACCUUCAAGCAGGGAUAAUUCAAAUCAUUGCAAUAAUGUUUCUCUUAGAGAAUGUCCUGGUUCCUAUCAUGAAGAAGUCGUGGAUGACAUAUCAAGUGAAGGAGAGCUAAGCCAUAUAGACAAUUCUAUCUACUCCCCUUCCAUGUUCACAAGUUCUAAAUCCAUCCUUGACCUUAGAGAUCCCUCUUAUCCCUCUUCUUUUCAGUCUCAUGAUGAUCCUAGCAAUUCACCAAGACGACCAAACCAUAGGAGUCAUGAAGACCAUAAGGAUGGCAUGUCAAGUAAUGCCAUAGAAGGAGAGCUAAGCCAUAUAGAAAAUUCUAACACCUCCCCUAUUUUCAUCACAAGUUCUAAAUGGCUAGAAUGUGUAGAAUGGAUGGAUAAGGAAGAAGCCUUAAUAGGUUCUGACUUUGGCUCAAUUUCAAAUGGUGAGUUCUUGACUCCCUUUGAAGAUGAGAUUCAUCCAACUACAGAAGAGGACAUAGGUGAGACCAAUCCAGGAGAAACUCCGAACAUUCAGAUUAGAGACGAAGAUAACAUUAAUGAGCGUGGAAUUUAUUUCAAAGGCACUUCGUUUACUCCAUGCUCAUAUGCAACAUCUUCCCAAUCUAUUGGUCUCUCCGACAUCACCACACUUGAGAUCUCCAACCCCCUCUUCCUUUCUAGUUAUAAAAACUUUAAAAGGGCAGUUGUCGAUGCAUAUGUCUAUAAUAAAUAUUGCAGAUCUCGUUGAGUUGAUCUAGAUAUAGGUUGGCGUCGGAGGGGAAACCACUUCGCCAACAUAAACUGAUGGUUUCCCAAGGACAAGCUUAGUGUCUUAAAAUAAGCAUUAAUCAGAUCGUAACAUGAGCCUUUAAUUAUUUGCAACAUUACCUUGUGUAUUGAGCAUAUAAGGAUAAUUGUAAAAAAAUAUAUAUUCCUUCGGGUAUUCUUGUCACUAACCUUUCUAAGAUUGGAGCAAGAAGAUCGGAUGAAUGACAAGCACAAGGUAUGUCCAACCAAUCAUCAUACAACAUUGAAUUAAAUUCAUCCAAACUUGAAUUUUGCAAAAUUCAAGCUUGGGGGAGUACUUUACAUAAAAACAUCCUUUGCCAUGUUGCUAUGCUGGUUGUCCCUACCUUUGAGACAUGCUCAAUUUGUUAAAUACUAAUCACACUACUUCAUCUCCACUUGAGUAGAUCUCUAUAAACGCUGUCAUGCUACCUUUGUCUAUUUACUAGCAAGUGUUGGUUUGGAAGUACUCGCCAUACUUCCAUUGGCAUUUAAAUUAAGCAUGGUGCUUAGGUUAAAUAGCCUUCCUUAAUCUGAUUAGACAUGGAGUCUAGUUUGGUUAUUGAACUAAAAAAAACUGCUUGAGUAGAUAUUGGUAUAUUUUGUCGGACUAACCCUUGCAGAAAAACUUUCAAUAUCAAUUUGGGAAGUCCUGAGAUAAACUCACAUCAGAGACGAAGAGAGUGACACAUGAAGUUUAACAAUUUGCACAAGAAGGACAUAGCUCAUUCAUCAUAGAGAGAUGAUCCAUGGAGGGUGCCACAAACACGACGCACAACCGCUAAGAAAGGAAAGCUUCCACAAGAUGAUACUGUACCAUCACUCUUCGAGCAAGGUAACAUCUUAAGGUACUUGACUAUCUCUUUUAUAAGCUUCUCCUUGGUUCUGGCGUUCAUAUAAAUAAAAGAGACAAACGUGUAUGAUUUACAACUCUAGAUUAACCAACCCAACUGAUUCAACAUGUUCAGUCCUUUAAUCCUUGUUCUUAGUACUACCUCCAUGAUCCCACACUCCUAAUCAUAUGAGCUAAAAUGUUACACAUUCAAUCAUUGAGAGAUAUAAAGAAAAAGACAUAUACAUAGAUAGAUUAUCUUUCCGUAAGGUUGAGCGAUCUGAUCUGACAAAUGUUAUAAGUGCUACACUCAUGAACUUAUCAUCCAUCAACUUGUCUUGCUCACUAUGCUUAAGGUUAGAGAAGAACAAAUACACUUUUGGUUCUGUUGGUGUUUUCCACCAGCAGGGCCCAUGCACUUGAUCUCUGCCUUGCCUCUAUGAGCAGGUACACUACGAGCACAAACACACUGAGCAAGAUACUGCUAACACCGCACUUCGAACUGCUGGGCAAACGAAGAAUAUGGGUGACACCGUAUUAAAAGGUGCAGACGUCAAGGUCCGCACCUGAAUCAAAUGACGCACCUGAAGAAUGAACACGAUGAGAUGUCUUGACAAGAAGACUUAAAACAUUGAACCCUCGCCGAAAGGUAAGAUUGGUAGUUAUCCAUAUUUAUCCUUUCUGCAUUCCCUUUUCCAUUUAAUUAUUUACUUUCCUUAAAUAGAUUAUUAGUUAAUCAUGCUAUCUUGAAAAAAAAUAAAAAUGUUAAAAAAUACUAAGCCCCAUGUGAGUAUACGAGUGACAUAAAACCCAUAAGUACCUUCACUGUGGUGGCAUAAAAAUAAAAUAAAUAUUUCUUUUCUACUUUAUAAAAUAAAAAUAUAAAAACAGGGAGUAAUAUUUAUUGAGGAAGCUCAACGUGAUGAAGGCUAGAUAUUUAUGCUAACACUUAAUUAGUUCCACAAGCUUUGUUGUCUAUUUGAGCUCCACAGAAUUUAAAAAUCAAGAAGACUAGCAGACGGAGGACAUUCUAAUCGCUGUUAGAAUGCUGCUGACUUUCAAAUACACCUCUGCCACCUGCUAGCUACAUCAAGAGAAAUUACGUCAAAAUUCAGCUUGGGGGAGAGCACCCCCAUUUAUCUCGCUAAGUAUUUCUACCUAUCUUUAUACUUAUAUUAUAUUAGAAUAUUAAAAUACAUAAACUAUGAAAAACCAAAUAAAGAUUUUGUGCUUAUAUAUAUAUCUUUUGCUUAGUGUGUUUAAUAAAUAAAUAAAGUGGCUAUGCUAAUCUGAAUCUUAAUAAUAAAACUCUAGCAUGGACAUGAUGAAUAGUUGCUCUGCCUAAUUUGUAAAUUUGAAGUUCUCUCUCAAGUUUAGACAUAACUGUUAUAAUUUAAAGCUUGCUCUAGAUCUAAACUUGUGGGAUGAAAACUUGAUCUGAAAUCUAAGUUGUUAACGGAUAUGAUAUGGGAAGGUUGAGCUGCUGUUUAUCUAUUCCUAAAGAUGCUAGAAUUCUGGAGAAUUUUAUCUUUGAAAAAUCUUUAAAAUAUUGCAUGAUGAGUUCCUGUAUGAUGAAAGUUUAAAUUCCUACCACAGCCAUAUAUACAUGCUUGCUAGACUUUGAGCCACACAUUUAUUAUUUACUGCUUAUGAGCAUUGAGUGUGGUCAAGCUGUGUAGACCCUUAGGAGCUUGUCAUGUGGUUAAAUCAAGAUUCACUUGCACGUUCACUCAUAUAUAUGCUACUUCUACUCCGGAUGUACCAUCCACAUAUAUCCAUCCAUUUCCAUCUCCAGAAUCACCUAAAAAUAUUCUACUCCUAAUUCGGGAGAGAAUAGCCAAAAACAUCUGUGUUUUUCCCUUGUGAAAUAAAUGCUCAAGUUAUCUUGCUACUACCACUUGCUAUAUUAUCUUAAGAGAUGAGUGCUCUGAAAAAAAAGAAGAAAAAAAAGAGAAAAGAAAAAAAAAUAAAUGAGGAAAUAAAAAGGGGCAAGUGCCCGGAACCUCGAAAGAAAAGAAAAAGAGUGAGACGAGAGGUAAAAAUGGACAAGUGUCCGACAGUAGAAUUAGGGGUACAGGAUACCCAUCUGAGAGAAAAGAAAAAGAAGAGCAUCUCAUUCUCCUCAUAAAGUUUCAAAAAAAGCAUAGAAGGUAUGUGUCCCCUCAAAAGAGCAAAAGUAGAAUUAGACUUUCACCAUUGUUAUCACCAUCAUCACCAUACACUAUUCAUUCGCCACACAUGCACAUCUUGAUUUGGCUUAUUGAUUUGUUUCUUUGGAUCCAUGGUUUGACUAUACAAUAAAUGUCUUGUAAGUAUGUAUAUUUUAUCUCCCACCUAUGAGCUCCAGAUAUUAAAGCCUUAUUAGAGUAGGGUGAGAGAGAAGACAAUGUCACAAUCCCUUAUACCACAAAUACCACAUAUUUUGAGAGAAGGCAUAUACCAUCACUGCCUUGGUAAAGAUCCAGAAAUACCACAAAAGAGAGAUAUGAGAGAGUCAUACAAAGGAAUCUCUGAGUUUUAUUUGGAAAUCUGCAAAAACUCCAGAGUUAUAGCUGAUCAAGAAUAAGCGACAUGGCACUUGACUGGACUGUUCUAUCUUUUAACCACUCAAGACAAAAGUGACGGUUACAAGUCCCAUGGUGAAAGGUAAAGUAAGUAAGUUUUAAGUCUUGACAGUUUACUCUAACUCAGAGAUGAGACCUCAUUUAAAAGCAUGUGUACCGUCAAUUUUUAAAGAUAUUGCAACAACUUAUGAUCCAUAGCUGAGUCUAUCCUUGCUCAGGGAUGAGCAAGAGGUAAGCUUGGGGGAGUUUGUUGACGGUUCUUAAGUAUCAAAUUUAACUAUCAAAUAAACAAAGAAAAGGAUCCAAAUGAAAUCAACAUCGAGACUUAGGGUUUUAUCUGACAGAAUUCCACGAGUUUUGGUGUUUGUCUAUUUCUGCAUGGGGUUAUCAGGAAAUAAGGAAGAAAGGCCCACACGUCGGGAUUACAUAGAGAUAUCAACGUACCGCACAAUUAUCUUACAUCUAGAAGACUCCAGAAGCCACGGGAAGGAAGCGGAGACCGAACGGAGUCAGGGACAGGGCGCCCGCCCAAGUCCUUAGGGCGCCCGCCCACCUUUUUCGGCCCAUCACGCUCAAUCUCGCGGAUUAUGCUCCACCGACCUAAAGGAUCAAGAAUAACCGUUCAAUCAAUGUCGGUUUGAUCCGACGGCCUAGGUUCACUUGAGGGGACUAUAAAACCAGACCCCCUGGCCCCUGGAGGAGGCACCCCCUUGAUCAUUAUUCAUUAUUCAUAGACAGAGCAAAAGCUAGGGUUUAGAGAUGAGAGCUCUCCUCUCUUCUCUAAACUAGAGUAGAUCUAGAUAGUAGCGAGAUGGAGAGCGAAGGAGGAUUAGAGGAGAGGCCGGCCUGUCGGUUCUUCCUCCGGUUGUACUUCGCCAUGAUCAAGCUCUAAUCAAGCUUGCUCAUGGGAUGACUCUGGUAAUCUACUUCUAAUUCAUUAUGCAAUUACUAAUCAUGUAUGUUCUGGUUCACAACUCUUUUGAGUACUUCUAAUCUAUAGGACCCUAUAGGUUAGAGUUGUAGUAUAGGUGUAAGCGUGGUGCUUAGACCUAGAUUACUUGUGGAUAUCCCCUGACUAGCUGGAUCGUGUGGUAGGCCGCGUAGGUGACAGUUACGUUGGUCCCCUGUAGUCCACCUCUCGUUAGCAGGACGGGUAGGGUUUAUCGGCCUAUGGAUAAGCAUCCUUUGUGGUGUACUCUUAUCACAUGGUUUGUCCCAGACAUAGACAUACCCCUUUGAAGUAGAGAAACCAUAGUUAUCCUCUCUAUUCUACUACCAUCGCCCAUAUACUAGAAUUGCUCUACUCUCUAUUCCCAUAUUAUCACUCACUGUUAUCUUACCUUUAAUAUUGUUCUUAUUCGAUUCUACCAUCUUUCCUAUUCACACCUAUUUACUUAUCUUGGUUAAGUUAGAGCGUAGAUCAGUUCUCCCGUUUCCCUGUGGAUACGAUAAAACCUUUAACCGGGUAAAAGCUUCAACGGUAUCCGUGCGCUUGCGGAUUAUCUGUGUGCGUAUAAAUACCAUAGUACACUCUAGUGCCACGCUGGGGAUGACAACCUAGUAUUCAAGUGGUGUUAGCAAGUGUCAACAGCUGUUCCGCUACUAUGGGAAAUGAAAUUUCAAGGAAAACAAUGACACUUCAGUUGUCGGAAUGCACCAGUGUAGCUGAAAGUAAGAACUGAUCAACAGAAAAUAUGGCAACAACUUAAUGAUCAUGCUCAGUAAUUCAAAUGCCAACACCUGAAUUAAGUAGGCAAAAAAGGCAAUGAUAUUGAGUGGGAACAGCAGGCAGUCAAGGUGUCAUGGGCAGGCUGCCAGGGCCGACGGACUGAUAGUUCGGCCCAGUUAUCUUUAUAAGUUUAAUUAUCUUUGGAUUUGCAAUUUAUAUUAGUCCUAGAUGGGUUAGUAGCAAAAGAGGUGAAGUAGAAGGGACAUAAAUAUCUGUAGACUCUAUUGAUAUAAUCAAACAAUGAAUUAUGAAGAAACAAUUCUAGUCUCCCUCAAUCUCUCAAGCUCUUGGCAAAGCAAAGGCCUAGUUAUCUAUCUAAAAUACCCACCUCGUUCAUAACAUCUGGUAUCCAGAGUCAGCCGAUCCUCUCCAUCUUCACCGAACUGCAACUCUCCACCCGAUCCAUCCACCACCAAGGCGCCGCGCCGUCGUUCCGCCCACCCGCCGCCACUACCAACCGCUAUUCCGCCCACCCGCCGCCACCUCCAGCCACCGCGCUGCCGCCCUGCAGUCAACAUUUUGUUGGGCCCUCAGUCGCCGUUCCACCUCCCAGCGCCGCCACCCCAUCGUGUCCAGCCGCCGCGCCACCAUCACGCGCCGCCUCCAUGGGAGACGCCUCUGACCUGAACGCGUCCCUGGAGGCCCUCAACAAGGCCGUCGCCGCCCUGCAGGCCACGGUCGAGGCCAAAGCUUAGGCCAUCGCCAACUUCACCAACGCCUGCACCUCUCCACCGGGCACCAAGCCGGGCUCCGGUGAGCACCUCCAUGAUUGGCCGCCCCAACACUGACGGUCUCAUUUUCCGCGUUAUAAUGGCAAGACCGACCCGCUCGUGUUCAUCAAUCGAUGUGAGUCGUUCUUUCUUCAUCAGCGGAUCAUGGAAGAGGAGAAGGUCUGGAUGGCCAGCCGCCAUCUAGAGGUGAGCGCUAAGGUGUGGUAUACCCAAGUCCAGCAACACGAAGGUACGCCACGAUGGCGCAGAUUCUCGGAGCUGCUCCAACUGCAUUUUGAGCCGCCCCUUAGUACCAUCGCUCUCGAUGCGUUCAUAGUCUCCAACAGCACGGGUUCCGUGGUCGACUCUCCUGAUCACUUUGCAGCAUUGCUUCCACACGAAAGCAUUCUGUUAGAGCUGCAGCCAGCAGAGGCCACCACAGUGGUCAGCCUUCCAACCAUGGGCCAAGGCGACAAGUUGCUGCCUACCUCGGUCCCACAUGCUGGGCCUCUAACUCCCACAAGCAGGUGGGUGCUACCUCCUUCCGUCAUCAACAUGGCCAAGAAACAAGCAGCGGUGCGACUACAAGCAGCGGUGCGAGGUUUUCUUGUCCGUCGUAUGGUGCGGAAGAUGCGUAUGCUCCUCUGCUCAUCCCUGUCGUGCGUGUUCAUCCACUCGGCCUCACUGACACGUCCUGCUGCUCCAAUUGAAGUGGAGGUCCAAGUAUGGGCACUUCCAGUACAGCAAACAAGCAGCACCCUCCAACAUCAGGCAUCAAUGGCUAUGGCUGUGUCAUUCAUCCUUGUUCCUGUCGUGGUGCUUCGCAAAUCCAACGUAAGAGCAGGUUGUUUCACGCUCCACCCUUCUGCUCCAAUGAAGCCAGCGGAGACGCUCUUCCCAUGGGAUCCAUGACGUUCUUGGCACCUUCCUCGACCACUAUCACUGUGCUCGAGGACGAUCUGGUCCUCAAGGGAGGGGGAGAUGUCAUGGGCGGACAACAGACUGCUAGGGCCGACGGACUGAUAGUUCAGCCCAGUUAUCUUUAUAAGUUUAAUUAUCUUUGGAUUUGCAAUUUAUAUUAGUCCCAGAUAGGUUAUUGAGCAAAAGAGGUGAAGUAGAGGGGACAUAGAUAGAUAUCUGUAGACUCUAUUGUUAUAAUCAAGCAAUGAAUUAUGAAGAAACAAUUCUAGUCUCUCUCAAUCUCUCAAGCUCUUGGCAAAGCAUAAGACCUAGUUAUCUAUCCAAAAUACCCACCUCGUUCAUAACAUCUGGUACUCCAUAACAUAAGGUUCGAAAUGUUGACACCUGAAUUCAAGCCAUCCUACAAGGGAGAGGCACUUAAUUAAGCACCAUGCACAGGGAAAAAUAAUGCUCGAGAAUAAAUGCAUGGAACAUUUGUGUCCUAAGAAUUCACCACUCAUUUGAACUUUCUUGGAGAUUGUUUCGCUUGUUGCAUUAUAGUAGACUACUAUUAUUAAUAUGAGACACAUGAAACUGAACCGGGAUGUCUUUCAGUUCCAGUUUUUGUGUGCAAGUUACCAGUUGUGCACUUGUGUAGGUGAUGUCUAUUUUUGUUUUUUUGUGUUAGACGUAUAAAUUAUUUGGAGAUUCAGUAUACACCUAGAUUAGUUAGCUGUUAGGUAGAGCGGUGUAUUGUGCAUAACUGAAUUUCAUAAUGUUCUAUGGAGGAAGGGUUACUAAUUCUUUAGGGAAAUUUGUUUUGAGGACAUGCUAUUUGAUUCAAUCACAAUGUAAACACUUUGCUUUCAUUUGCUUUGUACCCUGGUUAUUCUUUCUGUAUUUUGCACUGUCAGUGGCAACAACAAUCUGCCAAUGGAGCUUCAGCUAAGGUGAUUGAUCAUUGUCAUAUGCUAUAACAAAGUCAAAUGCAUAUUCAUUGCCAUCUAUGUCAUUGUUUAUCGAUCUACUAUGACUCAAGUAGUGUGCCACUACAUUAGUCGUAAUUUAUUUUAGCUCUUCUUUUUAAUACAACCAAUAUGCUACAAAUGCUUUUCAUUCUCUCAGUGUAGCAGGAAAUAGUGGUAAUAUCCAUUUGGCAUGCCAUCGUAGCAUAUUUUCUGAUCGGCUGAUUAGCUUCAAUUUUAGUGUUUCCCCCAUGCUUAAAUUUGGAGGCACAGAUGAUUAUCAUCUAAGCGUACCAUGAAUGUAUCGCACCUUGACUUUUGUCAAAUAUUUGAAGAUUAACUAAACUGUCAAUGCAUUUUCCUUGACUAUUGUUUGAACUAGGAAAAAUAUUUAAGGAUUGUCAGUGCAUUAUGGAAACAACAUAAGAUUACCCCACAUUUAUUUCAAUGCUUUAUUGUGCUCCAAAUGAUAGUUGUAAAUGAUGCUGUGGCGUUAACACAGGCACUAUACUAGUACUAGGCUAAUAAUGUUUUUGCUUGCUUGCAGGUUGGAGUUUUCGGCACAGCUGGUUACUAGCAGGCUGCAGCUGCCUGGAAUUUUUUUUGUGUUGGUUGCUGUCAGGCUAGAAUUUUUGGCUCUGGCUGAUUGGUUUGGUGCAGGAACUUGGCGCUAGGUGCUAGAGCUAGUUUUAAUUGAGUGGAACUUAUUUAGUUGGUUGCUGUGAGCAUAUUGUCCGUACUGUACAGGAGGUUAUUGUAAUAUAAUGAUCAAGUGCUUCAUUAAAUAUCAAAUUAGCCUAGGAUGAUUCAUUUGUAUCAAUUCACCCUUUAGAUUUCGUUGAAACAAUGUAGUGUCAGAAAAUUUUUAGUAUUUCAGUACUACUUGUGUCAUGUAAUUUUAUACUGAAUGGUCCGAUCAUGUUUGACGGAUGAUAAAUGCAUAACUAUUAUUGAUCCUGUAUUAACUAUUAUGAUCCUGUAUUAUAUUGUUUUAAAUUGUUGGUGGUCCAACUAAAUGAGUGUGGUAGAAUAAAUAAUGGCAAUAGCUACAAAAAUAUGGAAGUAACAUCAUUCGAGGCAAAAGAUAAUUUAUCCUAUCAUAACCUAGAUUUUUUGAUGUCACAAAGGAGUGUGCCAAUAUAGGGAGCUACACACGUUGCAACCAACUAUUAUGGUGGCAAUACUGUUAUCCACCUCUAGCAACCAAACAAACCAGGUGGGAAUAUAGGACACCACCUAUUACACCGAAACAUAAACCGUGGUAAAAGAGGAAACCACAUAUAGCACCCAAAGCACUUUGGUGGCAAUAGAGGAUAACGCUUAUAGCACCCACAAGCACAAGGUGGCAAUAGAGGAGCUUCCCCUAUAGCAACCACAACUAGAGCAUAGCAAUACAAUGCUUUGCAAUGUCACAUUUUACACAUUGCAAUGCUUUGUGUAGGAUGCAAUUGAAACCUCUGGCAUCACCUGAUAUGUUGCAAUAGGAUACAUUGCAACCAACUCAAGCGUGCCCUUAGAUGCUUGUUUCAACGCCUCACUGUGUUGCAAUACCAAAAUUAUUGCAACGUCAAAAAUACAUUCGAGGUUGAAGGCUAAUACCACCAGGUUUUAAGCAACAUUCAUUUACGAAAUCUUGUCUUAUAGUCAUAUCUCGUGAACAAAUUUGCCAUGGAAUAUCUAUUGUUCAUAAUUGAUCAACGUCCAUAUUGACUACCAACUUUUUGACUUACAACUCAAAGACACGAUAACUUAGCGUGGAUUUGCCUCCACAGGUAGGAGUGGACCACCCUGAUACUCAAUACUUUUCUCUGAUUGUGCGGUUAAGAAAAUUUUCCAUUGGAUAGCAUAGAUCACUCCUUUAUGUGCACACAACCAUCCAUUGCCAGGAACCACAAGGAUAUCAAGUGACUCUAGCACAAUGAGAUUUACAGUGAAGUUUUCCUUGCUUAUGACAAGAUUGAUAUUUGAGCGAACCUGAUCUGCCUGUAUCUCUGCCAAUGGGGUUUGAACUAACAAAGGCUUCCUUGUUGGACACUUCACCCGCUCAAUCGUCUUUACCAAGUCGGCAGAAAUAAAAGAAUGUGAAGCACUCGAGUCAAAUAGAGCAAAAACUAGCACUUUCGUUGCACCUUACUUCCAUGAGUAGGCUUAUUACGGCUUUUCCUUUUUCGCUUCUGUCAUUGUGGAUUCUGAUUAUAUUCAUUUCCAACUUGCUCUUCAAUAUUGUUAUUUUGAUAAUACUCAGCUUUAUCAUACUCAUAACAUGCUUCAAAGGCAAGGUGAUCAUGCUCUUCUCACGUAUCUAUGAGAGGCGUCAUAUUGGGCUCCUGAUGCAUGGGAUACUACACUCCCUAUCAUCAAGUGACCAACGUCAGUAACACGGCAAGGAUAGAUGAUCAUAACCAUAGAAUAUCUUAAGAGACAACUCUCACUUCAAGAUAAAUUAAAAAUGCAUCAUCCCGUGAUAUCAAGAUAUUGCCCCCUUGAUGACGUUGUUUGGGGGACACUAGGGACUAGUCCUCAUAACCUUUUUUAAAUGCUACACAUCAUAUAGUCUUUUAAAUUCACUAUACCGAGUCUCUUGAUCCAAGGUUGGCUUCAUCACUGAGUUCUAACUAUUAGUACCUUUAUCACAGUUAAGUUGCUUCACUCUCACAUCCCACAUAUAACUUCAUAAUCUUUGGUGUCAUCUGAUCCUCAUAAGCAUAACUCUCAAUCUAUGAGUAUCGGCCACGUAUACCUCCAUUGAUAUUCCCAAGUAGGAUGAUAUCUUGAAACAAAACCAAAUUUACUAAACACUUGUGAUCCUUACCUAUGAUCCAACAUUAUCUAAUACUUCUCCUUAUAACUCUCUUAACUAGGCUACCCCCCUUAAGAAAGGGUCAACUAGGGACACAAAAAGAGUAGCUUGCCACUUUUUCCAGACAAGUUAACUAACACUGGAAUCUACCGGCAUCCCAAAGAAACUAUGCGCAAGGGAAGAAACAAGUAUUCUGAAAUUUCCUCACGAUGUGGAAAAUACCAGCACAGUAAAACACAUCUAACUCCUGUUCUGUUGAUCCAAUAGGAUCAUAGCUUAUAACAUUAGAAAACUUAUGAAAUUCCCUACAUCUUUCAUAUAGAAGACUUCCUUAGGUUCUAUCUUUAAACUUAGGUAAAACAGCCAAACAUAAUAUCCAUCCUGACAAUGUCUCAGCACAAAUGUAGUAACUUGUAGCAGUCAUAUCUUGAGCUACAUAACUCAUAGGUUGACAAUCCUUAUAUUAUUUAAAAGCUUAUAAAAUCCUCUACAACUUUCGUAUACAACGUUUUCCCAGAUUCUGACUUUGACUUGGCUGAAAAUAGGAAAUACUAGGCCUGUCCAGAUUUUUAAGCAGAACAGAAACAUCCAAUUGUAAAUAUCAUAUCUCGGGUUCUACUUAUCCAAUAAAGUUCCAGCUUAUACCGUUGGAAAGCUUAGAAAAUUGUAUAUGACCUUUCUAUAGAAAACUUUUCCAAAUUCUAAAGUUAUAUUUGUCUUAAAAUAGUAUACGACCGAAACUGGUACAAGUUCUUGACAGCACAAUUGUAUCACCUUGUGAUUUUCAUAACUCCAAUACCAAAAUAGCUAUGGGGUUGAUUCUUGCGGUCAGAGAACAAUCGUAAAGUCUUCCAUCAUCCAAAAUUUUUCCAUGAUUUUUGGUCAUCCAAGAACAUAGAUAUAAACCGAUAAAGAUGAGAUUGUCCGGAAAGGCAGGAUAAGAAAACAACAGAAAACCAAAACCCAACUAUUUAUUUCAUUAAUCCUUAUACCUUAGUCCUAUAAACUAAAUGAAAUUAUAGAGUAAAUCCACAAGAUCAUUGCACUCAUUACAAAGAUCCAAAUCAAACAUAGGUAUAAUGAUAAACCGACUAAGCACUAAAGGUUCACACUUCACUCAACUUGCGAUGCUAUUGUUCUCUUCAUAGUAAGGGUAAAGAUCCUAAAACUUCUGUUUCAAAACACAAGAAGAGGUAAGGGAAGGUUCUAAAAGCAUACCAAAUCAAGGAGUGAAGAUGAGAACAAGGAUUUUUAAAAUAAGCAACAAGGUAGAGACAAAUAGCAAGGGUAGAGAUAUAGUAUGGAUGAAAAUACCAAGGUUUAUAGAGCAAGAGUGUUAUAACAAUUUCAAAACCUUAAGACAGCCAAUUUAUAACUAGGCUUGCAUCCUAUAGUCAGCAUUGCUUUGAUACCACUUUGUAAUACCCGAUUUUAAGGACAAAAUUAGAUAUACACCAUAUAUGAGUUUUAGAUGUCAAAUCUCAAAUAUAGCUACGAAUAAGGGGUAAUAUCAAAAGACAAUGCAUAAAUUAUGUAACGUACAUAAAAAAUUAGAGAUAACCUUAGGCAGCAAACAACGAAAGAUAACUCUAACUUCGGGUAUUAACUCCACUAUACAGGAUCCAACUGACUGGUUGAUCACAAGCCUCACACUCCUCCUAAAGUAUGCGGGAAAUAGCAAGUGUGAGCCCAUGUCGAACUCCACAAGUAUAGCAACUAGAUUAUAUAGAUCCCACAAUCUCAUGAUCAAUGUGACAUAAAUAAUGUAAAGCAUUAAACAAUAAUUAUGAGCAUAUUAACACAACAAGAAUCAUCACCCUUAAUGUAGAUGUCCCCAAGGUCGCUCCUAACCGUGAGCUCGGCUAAUAUACCAGUUUAAUAAACACUAUGCAGAUGUCGUACAUCUUUACCUAUAAGUCAUGAUUUACCCUUUCGCCCGAGGUGAUCAGCCUCUUAACCCACUACCAAGGAAGGUCGGCAGGGAUCACUAUGAAGUCUUUCAAAGGUUCGUCUAACAAGUUAGGGCCGCUUGGUUUCAUUAGUCAGUCUGUGUGAUUCUACCACGCAGGGAUCCACGGUCUGCUAUCCCCCAUUUGCGCCUCACGGGUAACCGCUAACGAGCUAGAAAAGUUACUCAUACUUGACCAGAGCCAUUAUAGCCCUCAUGGUUGCACUUCAAUCCCGAUUAUCACUUAUAGACAAAUCCUCAAGUUGCUAAGAAGUCAUUUUUAUCAUUUGAUGCUUAAACAUUAAUCAAGUCACAAGUUCAUGGUCAUAGAAAUAAAACUCAAAUGCUAUACUUGCCUUUAUCCAAGUGCGCCUGCUAAUCUUGCUAGUUGUCUAAGUACUGAUCUUGAUCACUGAAGCACUCUUGAUCACCACGAAUUAUUCACCGAAGUACUGCUCACCAUUUAUUCUCGAUCAUCGAUCAUUAACACACAAACAAUCGGGUCCAAAUAUACACGAAGCAAACAAAGCUAUAAUUAGAAUAGUACACCAAUAAUAUAAAAACAGUAUAAAAAGUUUAUAAAAUGAUUCUACGCAGCACUACGAUCACACGGACGUAAUGAUCGCAAAAAUCAGAGCUAAAACGGAGAAGUUAUAAAUUUUCUAAGAUUUUCUUUAGAAAAGAAAUUAAUUAAAUAGGGUCACAAAAUUAAAAAGUUUUAAACUGGUGAAUUAAUGUUACUAACAUGUAGAUCUUGUGAUUAUGAAUCUAACACAAUUUGAAUGGGUCAAAUCGGAGUUAAAAUGAAUAUUUUAUGGCUAAAACAAACUCAAUGGCAAUUUUGUAAAUAUAGAAAACAUAUUUUGAAAUAAACCGGCAGGCUUUAUGUUUUAAAAAACAGAAGGCCUAUUUACUACUCUAUGCUUUGGACAACGGGUUCUAAACUCCAAAACCGCAGGGGUUCUUUAACAAUUUUGCCAGUCGAAGAGGUAUCUUGAAAUCUCGGACAUUGGAUUAAAGGAGAACGGCUCGGAUUUGGUUGAGAGGAGGAGAAAGUGACUGCCAGCCGGCUACAGUACUUUGGCGGUGGCUUCACCAAAUGACGUUUCUGGCCUCUGUUUCACUCGGGAAUUGCCUAGGAACAGAGGGAAACUCAAGGCAGUCUCACCUAGGGGCUUCACGGGGCUGGGGCUAGCUCGUGGGUGGCGCGUGUCAUGGUUCGGAGGACGAUGAACUCCUACAAGGGAUCGACAUCGUGGGUAGAGCGAGUUAGGGCUCGAAAUCAAGGAUGAAAAGACCCAGAGAAUGCUCGAUCUCACUGCGAAGCUCGACAAAGAACUUAUGCGGGCAAAACACAACCGGAGGGCAACAAAGAUCAGCAAUGGGAAUGGCGGCUUGUUCCUAUGUUCAACGAGAUCCAAAUUCACACAGACGCCGGAGCUAGGGCAACAACAAGAGAUAGAUGGGAGAAAACAGAAUGCGGAGGAGAUGCCUGGGGUUUUUAGGAGCAAUGGAGAUCUUCUACGGGCGAAUCGUGUGGAAAUCGGGAAGGAAAGGCACGGCUUCCCUGGACAGAGACCUACCUAGCCACGAUGCGAGGAAGGAGAUGAGGGAGUCACUGUCAAGCGGGCCCCAGACAUCAGCCGAACAGAAACAAAAGGAGGACGCGCCGGAGCGGGCCUUGGCCUGUUGUGAAGUGGGUCGUGCGUUGCUGGGCUGAGCUGAGUGUUGGGCCAAGCGAGAGAAAAAAGGGAAAACGGCCCAAGGGAGAGGUUUGGGGCCUUCGAGCCAAAAUAGCUGGGAGAGCUCUGUUUAUUGUUUUUUCUUUUUCUUUUCUCUCAGGUGGGUAUCUUGUAUCCCUAAUUCUACUGUCGGACACUUGUCCAUUUUUACCUCUCGUCUCACUUUUUCUUUUCUUCGAGGUUCUGGGCACUUGCCCCUUUUUAUUUCCUCGUAUUCACUUUUUUUCAGAGCACUCACCCUCCUGGAAUAAUGUAGCAAGUGGUAGUAACCAAAAUAUCUCGAGCAUUUAUUUCACGGGGAAUAACAGGGAUAGGAUAAUGUUUUUGGCUAUUCUCUCCUGGAUAGGGGUAGAAUAAUUUUGGAUGAAUCUGGAGAUGGAAAUGAGUGGAUGUAUCUGGAUGCGUACUUCUAGAGUAGAAGCAGCAUGUAUAGUGAACGUGCAAGUGAAUCUUGAUUUUAACCACAUGACAACCAAACUCAAUGCUCAUAAGUAGUAAAAAGUAAAUGUAUGGUUCAUAGUCUAAUAAGCAUGUAUAUGUGUCUGUGGUAGGAUUUUAAACUCUCAUCGUACAGGAACUCAUUAUGCAACAUUUUAAAGAUUUUCAUAGAUAAAAUUCUCCAGAAUUCUAGCAUCUCUAGGAAUAGAUAAACAGCAGCUCAACCUUCCCAUAUCAUAUCCGUUAACGACUUAGGCUUUAGAUCAAGUACUCUUCCCACAAGCUCAGGUUUAGAGCAAAUCUUAAUUCAUAACAGUCAUGCCUAAACUUGAGAGAGAAUUCAAUUUUGAGAACUAGUCAUGGC
RNAcentral lists this long non-coding RNA (44762 nucleotides) under Sorghum bicolor (sorghum). RNAcentral describes it as "long non-coding RNA (SBIC_LNC002799)". The record is from RNAcentral. Lineage: Eukaryota; Viridiplantae; Streptophyta; Magnoliopsida; Poales; Poaceae.